Molecule: long non-coding RNA, 47000 nt
Filed under: Citrus sinensis (sweet orange)
Lineage: Eukaryota; Viridiplantae; Streptophyta; Magnoliopsida; Sapindales; Rutaceae
Description: long non-coding RNA (CSIN_LNC005153)
Source: RNAcentral
UCUGCGUCGCUUUGUUGGAGGUCCAUAAUCUGCACUGUGCUUUCCCAACUCUGCGCCAGGUUUCCUCUUUGCACCUCGAUCUCUUUCUGGCAUCCUUCUAUCAUUUCUUUUAGCCCUGUAGUCCUGUAAAUAAUCAUCUCCUAUUUCAGGUUUUUUCUUCUUCUUUUUCUUCUUCUUUGCUUUUUGGAUGAGUUCUUCCUCUCUCUCUUUUCUGAUGGAUUCUUCAUACCUCCUAAGUUCAGCAAACCUUUCCCGCUCUUCCACAAACCUCCUUUCUUCCUCAUAAAUCCUCCUUGCCCUUUCUUCUUUGAUCCUCUCAGCAUUUCUUCUCUUCUCUUCCUCUUCCCACCAAUUCCUCUCAUCUCUCACUUCCUUUUUGCUGAAUCAUUAGUCAAUAAAGGGAUCUGCUUUUCUCGCUUCUCGAAACUUGACAAUUCAACUAUUUUCUUAGUUUUUCUAUACUCGUGGGGACCCAUCCUGACUAACCCUGUCCAGAUCAAUAAUCUCUUUCGGCCGUUUGAUUAUGAUUUUCUUUUGAGGUGGCUCUCUAUCUUUAUCAGCAGGUGGACGUAUGACAAUAGAGGGUUUAUGAGAUUCAACUAGUUCUCUAUCUGUAGUUGUUACGGGCCUAAUAAGAAUGGAGGGCUUAUGAGAUUCAACUUGUUCUCUAUCUGUAUUUGCUGGGGGUCUUAUAAUAACAGAGGGCUUAUGAGAUUCAGCUUGGCUUUUAUCUACUGUAUCUACUGGAGGCUGUAUUACAAUAGAGGGUUUAUGAGACUCUACCUGUGUUUCUUCAGGUCUUGGCUUGUUAGAAAUUACUAUUCUAUUAACCUUACCAACGGACUUAUUCGCAGUUUCAACAACAUCAGAAGUACUCGGUUGGUCGGAACUUUGUGUAGAUGCAACAGGAAAUUUAUCAGGAAGCUUAUCAGCUGAGCUGCACUUGAAUUUUACUGGAACCACUUUCGUCUUCAAACUGGAUUUUUCAUCUUCAGGAGCUUCGAUCAAAGCAAUUUUUGUUGCACUUUUAGAUAUGAGCUUCUUUUUCUUCAGACUUUUCAGCUGGGACUGACUUGAAGGGUCCAGAGAGUUAGAUUUCCCCAAGGAUUUAUCCAUAUCUGCAGUUUCAAGCUGCGUUUCUGGCUCUGCUCUAUAUCUGGGGCAGUUUUUGUUGGUCCUCAUGUGUCCAUGCUGGUCAAUAAGGAAAAAAAUCACUGUAAAAAUAUAUCCUUAAAUAACACAUAGAAGCUAUGUUAACUUCGAAUAUUCCGCACCUGACCACAAGCUCCACAAACAAAAGUCUCCCUUGAUGACUUUUUCUCCUUGAACAUCUGGUUUAAAACCAAAAAAAUCAUAUGUUAUGAUAAUCUUCACAGGAAGCAUGUAUGUGUGCGUGCGCGUGUCUCUCUCUCUCUCUCUCUCUAUAUAUAUAUAUAUAUCAAAGCACAGGCUAUAUGGGGAAAGCAACACUGCAGAUCCAUGGUACACUGCCUCUGAAAUUAUUAGUAGCUAGAGAAAACAAGGUGAAUAUUAAAGUAAAAAAGUACCUCAUACAUUUAUACAAAUAAAGGACACGAUAACCAAAAAAUUCAUAGAUAAUAUUAAGAUGCACAAAAUUCAACUGAACUUAGUUUUAGUAACAAAUGUAAAGAUAUGACCUUAUUAAUCAAUUAAUCAGAGUAUGCAUUCAAAAUAUUUCCUUUAAAUAGGGAGCAUAUUAUAUAUUAAAAUUUAAGAAGCAAAAAUAGUAGAGUCUGCUCAUUCUUCUCCACCAGAUCAAGGCAUGACUGGACAGUACAAAUAUGAUUGAGAGGGGGAAAAAAAAAAAAAACUCCUAAAAAUCGCUUAACGAUGCAGUUCUUACGCUAUCUACUAACAAUCUGCCAUGUGAAGUUAUAAUGUAUGCGUGUUUGUUUGCAAGUUGGUCUUAUCUAAACAGCAAUGGAAUUCUAAUAUUGCACAUUCCUUUUACAGUCAAUUUUUCAGAUUAUCCACAGAUCCUAGAAUCAAGGGGAAAAUGUUCCACGGUGAUAGUAUGAUUUGAACAAUCCCAAUGCCACCACAUGACUUCUGAUUCACUGGCCGAGAAAAAAUAUUUCAUCUGACACUUGUCGAUAAUCAGUAGAUCAUGGGAUGUGAUCUCUAAAUUUCAAGUCAUAUAAUUAGCCAUCAAUUCAGAAUACUAUCAUAUAUAAUAGCUGUCCAUAAGGAUUUACACUGGAUGUACUAAAGCAUGAUUACGACAAUACGGAAAUCCAGAAAUAAAUCUAUAUGCCCUAUGGUUGUGAACAAGAGGGAGGAACCAACUAGAAUAAUGAUAUGAUGCAAAAAUUAAAACUUGCUUCUAUACUCAUUUCUGUUAUUGCUAGCAAGGAUCCUCCCAACAAUCACACUUCCGAACUAAUUAUCGAGUCAUCUUUGAUCUUGCAUAUAUAUUUCUUGUAUCACCAGCCAGAUCCUCUCAACAGUCACUUUUUCAAACAAUUAUUCAGUGAACGAUUGGGGAUUUCACAAUUCUAAAUAUAAAGGAUAAUCUACCAAAUGAAAUAAGAGAAAAUGAUACAUAUGCAACAUUAAACUUGCCUUGCCAUUAUCUACCACUAUCUUGACUUUUUUGCCCACUGGCGAUAUAGCAUUCUUUUUCAUUGCUUGCACCUUUCCAGACAGGUUUCUUUUAGCAAUUAGACUCUCCUCCUGUUACCACACAUAAUAGAGUCAAUAGCAUCCUCAAAUCAAAGAGAAACUGACAACCUAAAGCCACUUACCUCCUUUGGAUCUUUAAUCUGCUCAUUUGCAGCGUGGAUCCAUUUGGUUGGACUGUAAUUGCAAUAUGCUUAGCUGGUUUAUUUGCCUUCUUAAGCCGUUCAACGAUCUCAAGACCAGAAAUUGAUUUGGCAAGAGAUAAUCCUCCUUCCACUGGAGCUUUUGUUUUCUUUUUCUUUUUCUUCAGCUCGGCCUCAUCAUCUGCAAAACAUGGUAUGGUUGGCCACAUCAUUAAGUGUUAAUGUAUCAUUUUGGAAUACAACGAACAAAACAGAGAUAUACAGUAAUCACAUAAUUCUCUACUAAGGCAACGGUUUCAAUUCCAUUCGAGGAGCUUUGCUUAGCACAGUUAAACAGACAGUCCAAAUUUUUUUAGAGAAUCCAUAAGCUCCACAAAUUUCAUCAUCUGUAUUAACUGUGGGCCAUCAAAAACUAGAAAAAUCCAUUUCAUAAGAGGACUGCAUUUGUCAUAUGUUAUUGGUUAGCAGAUGUAUAAAUACAGCUAAUGCUCAAAAACUGCAAUCUUAUGUUACUUUAUAUAUAGAGAGUAUGUAUCAAAUAAAAUCAGGUAUAAACUAGUAAUCUUUUUACGUUUUAAAAGCAAUACAGAUUAUUUAUCAUGAAUUAAUAGACAAGGAAGAAUUAUCUGUAAGCAUAAUGUGUUGAUAUUUUCUGACUACUAAGCUUUCUCCAACAGUACCAACAUAUUAAAAAGGUUUUGGACUUACACAACAGAAAGAUUACUGACAUCAACCUAUUUAAGGUCUAUCCAUAUACAUAAUUCAAAAAAUAAUAUUAAAAACAAAAGGGCAUCCCCAAUCUGUAAUGAGUCUCCAGUAUAACCCACAAACGCUGACAGUUAAUUCUUCAGAGAAAAUUAAAAUAAGCAGUUAGAAAACAAAUAAUCCAUACCAUCCAUGAGUAGCCUGCAUAAUUCAGCCGCUUCAGCUGCUUCAUCUUCAAUUUCCUCUUCUGCCUGUACUUGGAUAGGACGCCUUCUCAUUUUAAGACCCUUAACACCUUCCACUUUGUCAUGCUUUGUAUCAUAAUUGCUCUCUUCUUCUUCAAAUUCCUCAGCAUCAAGAAAAUUUUCUAGAUCCCCAGCAAAUGAAUCCAGAUCACUAUGCUCAGAGUCACUUCCAAUUUCAUCGUCAUCAGCAGCUGAAAGAGACUGAACUUGUCUAUCCCAAAUCUCCUGACACUUUCCUCGGGUCUGUUGUUGCAGCUGAAGAAAUGACAUUCGCUGGCCACGUGCAUACUUGCUAAUAGUUGUUGGAUCAACCUGGACACCUGAUGCUGCUUGCUCACUUGAAAGCUUGCGAAUCAUAGCAAUACGAUGCCAUCUUGUCUGCUUUGCAAUCAUUUCCUCAGGCACAUUGAACUUAAGAAGAACCUGGUGAUAAAAAACGAUAAUGCUAUUACAUUGUUCUAAAUAUAUAGAGUUAUAAAUUUUAGGUUAUUUAUUAGAAAACACGGGAUUAAGUUUCCUACAGUAGGAAAUAAGUGAAAACAAUGAUGAUUUUUUUUUUUUGGGGCAGGGGACAGAAAAUUGUGGACCCAUUCAGAUAAAAGUAGAAAAUUUCAUUUUUUUCAUUCAAACUCACAUCAUAAGCUGUAGAAAAGAAGUAAAAAAGAUAAAAAUAAAAAACCUAAAUGACUGCAAUAAAUUGAAUUCAGACUUCAGAUAAACAUACAACCCGUAAAGGAUGAAGAGAUCUUUGUUUCAAUCUUCAGAAGUCCCCAAUUACAUUAGUUUUAGUUAGUGCUCUGACAUAAGAAAAAUACCUGUCACUUUCCUACACGAUUACAGGAUUUAUUAGAGACAGAACUACCAUUAUUGUUCCCUUACCUAUCAACUUAGGUUUUGGGAUUAAUAGUUCCUCAAAAGAAACAAAGUAAAGAGGUUACGUUGACAUGAUUUUACCAAUCCUAUGCAUUCCCAACUUCUGACACUCCAUCUGAUUGAUCAGCUCAAUAUAACUUAAGAGAGGUCAUUGAUUAAAUAGGGAGCAUAUUAUAUAUUAAAAUUUAAGAAACAAAAAUAGUAGAGUCCGCUCAUUUUUCUCCAUCAUAUCAAGGCAUGAUUGGACAGUACCAAUAUGAUUGAGGAAAAAGAAAAGAAAAAACUCCUAAAAAUCUCUUAACGAUGGAGUUCUUACACUAUCUACUACAAUCUGCCAUGUGAAGUUAUAAUGUAUGCGUGUUUGUUUGCAAGUUGGUCUUAUCUAAACAGCAAUGGAAUUCUAAUAUUGCACAUUCCUUUUACAGUCAAUUUUUCAGAUUAUCCACAGAUCCUAGAAUCAAGGGGAAAAUGUUCCACGGUGAUAGUAUGAUUUGAACAAUCCCAAUGCCACCACAUGACUUCUGAUUCACUGGCCGAGAAAAAAUAUUUCAUCUGACACUUGUCGAUAAUCAGUAGAUCAUGGGAUGUGAUCUCUAAAUUUCAAGUCAUAUAAUUAGCCAUCAAUUCAGAAUACUAUCAUAUAUAAUAGCUGUCCAUAAGGAUUUACACUGGAUGUACUAAAGCAUGAUUACGACAAUACGGAAAUCCAGAAAUAAAUCUAUAUGCCCUAUGGUUGUGAACAAGAGGGAGGAACCAACUAGAAUAAUGAUAUGAUGCAAAAAUUAAAACUUGCUUCUAUACUCAUUUCUGUUAUUGCUAGCAAGGAUCCUCCCAACAAUCACACUUCCGAACUAAUUAUCGAGUCAUCUUUGAUCUUGCAUAUAUAUUUCUUGUAUCACCAGCCAGAUCCUCUCAACAGUCACUUUUUCAAACAAUUAUUCAGUGAACGAUUGGGGAUUUCACAAUUCUAAAUAUAAAGGAUAAUCUACCAAAUGAAAUAAGAGAAAAUGAUACAUAUGCAACAUUAAACUUGCCUUGCCAUUAUCUACCACUAUCUUGACUUUUUUGCCCACUGGCGAUAUAGCAUUCUUUUUCAUUGCUUGCACCUUUCCAGACAGGUUUCUUUUAGCAAUUAGACUCUCCUCCUGUUACCACACAUAAUAGAGUCAAUAGCAUCCUCAAAUCAAAGAGAAACUGACAACCUAAAGCCACUUACCUCCUUUGGAUCUUUAAUCUGCUCAUUUGCAGCGUGGAUCCAUUUGGUUGGACUGUAAUUGCAAUAUGCUUAGCUGGUUUAUUUGCCUUCUUAAGCCGUUCAACGAUCUCAAGACCAGAAAUUGAUUUGGCAAGAGAUAAUCCUCCUUCCACUGGAGCUUUUGUUUUCUUUUUCUUUUUCUUCAGCUCGGCCUCAUCAUCUGCAAAACAUGGUAUGGUUGGCCACAUCAUUAAGUGUUAAUGUAUCAUUUUGGAAUACAACGAACAAAACAGAGAUAUACAGUAAUCACAUAAUUCUCUACUAAGGCAACGGUUUCAAUUCCAUUCGAGGAGCUUUGCUUAGCACAGUUAAACAGACAGUCCAAAUUUUUUUAGAGAAUCCAUAAGCUCCACAAAUUUCAUCAUCUGUAUUAACUGUGGGCCAUCAAAAACUAGAAAAAUCCAUUUCAUAAGAGGACUGCAUUUGUCAUAUGUUAUUGGUUAGCAGAUGUAUAAAUACAGCUAAUGCUCAAAAACUGCAAUCUUAUGUUACUUUAUAUAUAGAGAGUAUGUAUCAAAUAAAAUCAGGUAUAAACUAGUAAUCUUUUUACGUUUUAAAAGCAAUACAGAUUAUUUAUCAUGAAUUAAUAGACAAGGAAGAAUUAUCUGUAAGCAUAAUGUGUUGAUAUUUUCUGACUACUAAGCUUUCUCCAACAGUACCAACAUAUUAAAAAGGUUUUGGACUUACACAACAGAAAGAUUACUGACAUCAACCUAUUUAAGGUCUAUCCAUAUACAUAAUUCAAAAAAUAAUAUUAAAAACAAAAGGGCAUCCCCAAUCUGUAAUGAGUCUCCAGUAUAACCCACAAACGCUGACAGUUAAUUCUUCAGAGAAAAUUAAAAUAAGCAGUUAGAAAACAAAUAAUCCAUACCAUCCAUGAGUAGCCUGCAUAAUUCAGCCGCUUCAGCUGCUUCAUCUUCAAUUUCCUCUUCUGCCUGUACUUGGAUAGGACGCCUUCUCAUUUUAAGACCCUUAACACCUUCCACUUUGUCAUGCUUUGUAUCAUAAUUGCUCUCUUCUUCUUCAAAUUCCUCAGCAUCAAGCAAAUUUUCUAGAUCCCCAGCAAAUGAAUCCAGAUCACUAUGCUCAGAGUCACUUCCAAUUUCAUCGUCAUCAGCAGCUGAAAGAGACUGAACUUGUCUAUCCCAAAUCUCCUGACACUUUCCUCGGGUCUGUUGUUGCAGCUGAAGAAAUGACAUUCGCUGGCCACAUGCAUACUUGCUAAUAGUUGUUGGAUCAACCUGGACAGCUGAUGCUGCUUGCUCACUUGAAAGCUUGCGUAUCAUAGCAAUACGAUGCCAUCUUGUCUGCUUUGCAAUCAUUUCCUCAGGCACAUUGAACUUAAGAAGAACCUGGUGAUAAAAAACGAUAAUGCUAUUACAUUGUUCUAAAUAUAUAGAGUUAUAAAUUUUAGGUUAUUUAUUAGAAAACACGGGAUUAAGUUUCCUACAGUAGGAAAUAAGUGAAAACAAUGAUGAUUUUUUUUUUUUGGGGCAGGGGACAGAAAAUUGUGGACCCAUUCAGAUAAAAGUAGAAAAUUUCAUUUUUUUCAUUCAAACUCACAUCAUAAGCUGUAGAAAAGAAGUAAAAAAGAUAAAAAUAAAAAACCUAAAUGACUGCAAUAAAUUGAAUUCAGACUUCAGAUAAACAUACAACCCGUAAAGGAUGAAGAGAUCUUUGUUUCAAUCUUCAGAAGUCCCCAAUUACAUUAGUUUUAGUUAGUGCUCUGACAUAAGAAAAAUACCUGUCACUUUCCUACACGAUUACAGGAUUUAUUAGAGACAGAACUACCAUUAUUGUUCCCUUACCUAUCAACUUAGGUUUUGGGAUUAAUAGUUCCUCAAAAGAAACAAAGUAAAGAGGUUACGUUGACAUGAUUUUACCAAUCCUAUGCAUUCCCAACUUCUGACACUCCAUCUGAUUGAUCAGCUCAAUAUAACUUAAGAGAGGUCAUUGAUUAAGUCCUCAGAUAUCCUAUAGAUUAUCUACAAAAUUUAAUCAAUUCCAACCAAAUGAAAUUCUAAGGCAUGCAGCCUCUUGUUUCUUGAGGCCAGGCCAAGAGGGCAACAGAUGACCCCAAAUAUCAUAUAAUUUUUGCUGGUAUCCACACUAUACCUCCAAAUAUCAUAUAAUUUUCCUGCUAUAGGCUUGGCCAAGUAUUUGGACAAGAAAAGUUCAAGAAACUAAUCGACUGUCAAGUAAAAUGCCGAUAAUUUUUUCUAAGUUAAACGAUGUGCUUCAUCUUAAGCAUCUUAAGCUCAAAAACAGAUAGAUUAAUGGAGCUAUUAAAAUCCCAAUUUGUCACCUCUCUUGCAGCCUCCAUGCUCAGUCUACGAAGAUCAGCAUCUGUUCCAGUAACAUUGGAACCUCCUCGAUUAGCAGCUACUUUUUUCUUCACCAUUGCACUUGACACUGAAGCUUUAGGAGCAGCACGGACAUAACUAAAUCCUAGGCCCCGACCGGAUGGAUCACCAACACCAGUUAUUUCCAAACGCUCAAUGUUUUCCCUGUCCUGAACUUAAAUAGAUGGAGAAUAUAGAGUAAACAAUACAAAAAUAUAAAUGCAAAAGAGAAAAGGAAAAACAGGAAGUGGUGUUUGUUGAGUGUAAUGCCCCAAAAACCAUCCAUAAUAUGAAUGAUAAAGUAAAUAAUUACCCCCCUCCCCCCCAAAAAAAAGGUUUGAACAGCUCCAGUGAAACCGAAUGGGAUACCACAACCAGAAUUGAAUAAUUAAAGAUUGGCAAAUAGCUCCAGCACAAAGCAGAAAUAUUUCCACAACUAGCACCACGACCACGGUUUACAAUUAAGGAAAAAGGGAAGCACUAUAAUACGUUUUAGCCAGGGUUCAGAACAUUGCACGCGCACACACGCAAAAAAGGUGCAAACUUUCAUCUGUCAGAUUGAUUGAUUUACCUGGUUUGUGCAGGCAACAAAGUUGCUACUCAGGUUCCAUGGAGUUAUCUGAAGUUCCCUCUCAAUAUGAGAUGCAGCAGCUAGAGCAAUUGCUUCAUCAGGGAGCUGAAUCAUGGCUGAGGAAAUGCUAGCAGGAAGAGUUGUGUAAUUCCCAAAUGUUUAAGCCGGUUGAGACCAGCUUGCAUACUUUCAUAGGAGCAGACCUAAGCCAUAAUGAAAAACGAAGGGAGCAGAAGGAAAGGAGUGAGCAAAGCAUAUAAAUGGCAAGAUAAACCAGAAACAAGGACAAUAAUUUUUCACAAGAAUGUAGAAAUCAGUAACUGCAGCAGCACGAAGCAAUUACAGAAUAUAACACGUACGUUCUGGUCUACCAAGCGGGCACUGAUGAUAAUAAUUAGACACCAUGUGACACAUUAACGUAGGUGUUAUAAGUUAGCACUCAAUUUUAAAAAUGAACAAAAGUCCCAUUUAUGAAACCAAGGCAAGGAAACAAAUCAUGCUAACCCAAUAACUAAUUUUGAAGAAAAUAAAAUUCUUAGAAACAGGUAAAACUUACUAAGUUCGUUGGAUAUCUGAGAUGGUUCUAAAAAAAAAAAAAUUAAAAAAAAAGGUUUUGGUUAUGGAAAGCAAAAGGCAUCUGUAAUAUGUAUUAACUUACAUGCUCUGGAUAUACUAAUUUUCUCAAAUCACCCUCAGAUGGAAUGUGAAAAGUACGCUUCAUAGACCAAACCUGCUUUCCGUUUCCAUCCCGCUGUAGGUUGCAUUUGCAUGUAAACAAAAUAGGUGAGUACAAUAAAAUAACAACUAUUAAAACAGGACAGAAAGACAGAAUAAAGCUUCAAGCAUGUAUUCAAGCAGCAGCAAAUUGCCAAAGUAAUAUGAUAUGAACAUAUCCAAAAGAACAGCUUACCCGCAAAAAAGCACAUUCCUUCAUCUUCUUCCGUAUAAUUGCUUCUGAAAGGUUAGGAAACUGCGCAGACAACUCAUCUACACCAAUGCAGGGCAGCAAACCACGUUUUGCAGCAGCAGAAAAUUCACGAUAUACAUUUACCAGCAUCCUAUUUAUGCUAUAUGUUUGAAGGUUUUUUGAUCCAGGAGACAUCACCUCCAUGAGAGGCUCCUGCAAAUAAAUCAACAAAAUAUAAUUUAUUAAUCUCUUCCAAGAUUAUAAAAGCUUUGUUGAUGUACUGAAUUCGGAAGAUCUGCAUAUCAUAUUGGCACUAAUGCUCAACCGGGUAGGAUUUUAAGUUGAGUUGAAGUAGAAUAGUUCUCUUUUUAGCUGCUAUAGGCAGGCCAUGUUAUAUAUUCGAUAAAAGAGCUAAUGAUUAUUUGAUAAUAAAACCCAAAUUUCUCUUUCUCUCUCUCCCUUGCAGUUUCCUCUCUAUUCUUUUCUAAUUUUUGUUCUCCUCUCCCUAAUUUCUGAAUGUUUUCUCCAUUUGUCUCUCUUAGUAGUUCUCCUCUUCUAUUUCUUUAUUUUUCCCUUGAUUUCUUCGUCCAACCAAUUAUAGCCUGCCAUUACUGAAUCAGACAAAGCAUAAAUCUCCAUCAACAGACCAUCUCCAAAGAUUCAACAAUCUUUCUAUUUUAAACACAAAAUGAGGAAAAAUAUUACUAGUUUUAGGAACACUUGAUUAGAGCUCAAUAGUUUCAAGUGUCAACAAACAGGUCUAUAAUGAAAUAUACAACAAGAUUCAAUACCUCCCAUGCAUUUUUUCCCCCCCUGCUUCAAAAGAAGGAAAUCUUUCAUGCUACAAAUCUCCAAAUUUCAUCAAAUUUCACGCUAUCCCACUAUUUAACCAAACACUAAGAAAACAUUACAAGGAGCCAUUAUAACUGGAUGCUUGCCAGUAUAGUUAAAUAAAUUGAUGCUUUCCCAAUGAGAGAAAGUCGUGCAUAGCACCUAACUUAAACACAAUUAAGAGCAUGAAAUGAAUAAGAGGAACAGAAGGAAAUCAAUGGAUCAAAAGUAAAUCUUAAGGACUCUAAUUGGCAAGUUUACCCAAAUUAGUUAAUAUUCAAAAUGAUGCAGCUGCAGAAACAUAAACCAAUCUCAGUUCUGUCUACUCCCACUUUAAUAUUUACUGCCUACUUUUAUGCUAUAUCCAUUUAUUUGCGGUAUUCAAAAUAUCUUCAACUUUGUAGUUAAUCUUUUACUUGAUGUGCUCAAGUUAACUCAGAAAUAGAUGCACGUUCCCCUUAUUUAAAUUUGUCUCAUCCUGCAAACUAAAUUACUAGCACUCUAGCAUUGACAAAAAAAUCCUCGCUAUCGUUAUAAAAUUUCAUGGGACUUAGCAAUACAGGGAUGUACCAGUGCAAUAACUAACCUGUUGCCCAACAACAGCAACCUUGUCAAUCCGUCUAAUGGAAAUUUUUCCCUUUGCAGAUCGGACCAACAAAAAAUCAGUUGUUGCCACCUUAUGGGGAAAAACAGGAGCCCUAUACAUGUUUGUUUCAAGAGAGGACUGACUGCAACCAGCUUUUAUGUCUCCAAGGAAAGGGGACUUAUCACCAGGAUCUAGUGUCAAGACAUUCCCCAGGCAGUUGUUUCCACCACACAGCAGAGCGCCGGCUUGAUCCCCUGGGGAAGACUUUUGAUAAUAAGUACAUAGGUUUGCACCCAUUCCAACAUUGCUCAACAGCAGAGGUCUUUCCUCACAAUACCUGCCAAAAAAAAGAGUAAUGGUAAUCUCAAACUUUCUUUAUUUAUAUACAAAUGAAAUUUAUUACCAUUCAGAACCCAAGGCAAAAGCAAAGCUUGUUGGUUUGUUGGUGGUAUCACAUCAUCAAUCCUAGCAAUACUUCGAAUAUUUACUUCCCAACUUACCUUUUUUUUAUUUUUUUAUUUUCACACUAUGAUGAAAAAUAUAAAUACUAGCAGGUAUUCAUAGCGAACCAGCAGUACACUAAAAGCACAUAAAAUAAAAUAAUAAUCUAUUUAAUUUUUAUUUUAAUUGAUCUAGCACAGCAUUAAGCAUUUGACAUAAAUAAAUAAUAAUAGCAAAAAGAAAAGAGAAGUAAGAUUAAGGAACCGUGCUGUUAAGUCUUCAGACAAAGAUAGUAAAAGCAAAAUGGCUCAUUAAUUAUUCCAAAACUCAAUUAAUGACAUUUCUUGUUCAAAAACUCAGUUAACGACAUUUAUAUUUUCUAAUUAACAAGUCAUCCAAGUUUAGAAAUAUCAGCUGUUAAGUAGUGCCAAUUAUUAUCAUACAUGCUUAACGAACUACGUUUAUUUAUAAAGAAAUCUCUGAUGGUGAUGGACUCACUUCAUGUGCCUCUCAUAGCAACUACUACAGCAAAAACCUAUCCACCAAGGCUUGACUGCAAUGCUCUCCCAAUUAAGGAACUUUGCUCCUAAGUUUUACUGACUACAAAAAAUGUAUACUUUUAUUCUCGUUGAUUUGAUUAGAAUAGAUUUCAAUUUCAGAACAUAUUUGAAGUCCACAUAAAUUCUGUUAGUAUGAUCAUCCGAUAAUAUCAAUCCAUCUGUGCAGUGAUCUUCUAUGCAUGACACAAUAAAAGUCCAAGUGAAUAUAAUGAAAGACAAUAAAAUGGGAUAUAAACAGAGAAAAGAGAAAAGUACUUACUCCAUUAGAAAUACGUGACCAUCUUUCACAGAAAGAUCUGAUUUCUUCUUAAAUGCACCGGGAGGGCGUAAAGAUUUAUUCUCCCCAGGAAGCUUUUGUGCCCUUGGCAACAAAUGUAUUUUUGUGCGUAUAAGAUGAAUCAGGGAAUUUGGGCGAACAUUUUGGUCAGCAAGAGAUUUAUGGUCUUCAAGCUCCUUCCCCAAGUAAAAUAGUUUAACAGAUUCUGCAGGCUUGAAAUCUACAAGAACAAAAGAACAAAUUCAGAUGUUAUCCUUCUUAACAAAUUCUGAAGUCUUAAACCUUAAAAUAAUCAAUGACACCAAACAUUUAUUGAUAAGAACUACAGAUAUAGAGUGAUAAAUGUCAGUCAAAGAAAAAUGACAACCUAGCUUCUUCGAAGCCUUUGCUUUGAUGGAAUAGACUGUUUCCUCAGCGUCCACAUGCAGUUUACUUCCUUUGCCCCCGAAGCUCUUUACUAUAACUUUCAUGGGUCCUUGUGUUGGCAGCUUUCCUUGUUCUUUGACAGCCAUCUCACUGUCAUGUGGAUACCAUAGAGCUUUGGGCCGGUGAAAAUUAGCUAUAUCUUUACUGAAAACAGUGGGUAAAAAACAAUUGCAUAAGAUGAAAUGCGGUAACGAAGUGAUUCAGUUGCAUAAGCAACUUGGGAAAUCAUACAGAACAGAUAUAAAAGAAAAAAAAAAUAUUACUAACAGUAGGUGCCUGUCUACAGGUUUAGGAAACCUGGUUAAUUUUGCAUCAAUCACUAGCCAUUGACUCUCGAAUUCUGUAUUCUCAAUAAAUUGAAGAAAUCGUUAUAGAAUACAGACUGAAAUCAAGCAGAAGCCCAAUUCUUAGUUAAAGGUGAUAUAUUAGCACUUGGAUCUUGCUUCCAUAUAAGGGACAUUUGCGGGGAGAGAGCAAAUGACAGGACACAAUUUUGGAAGCCUCUGUUCAUUCUUUCAGUGUGGUUUAACAAUACUCUCUAAUGAAUUAAAAUAAAUAAAUAAAAUAAAAUAAAUUGAUAUUAGCGACUUUUGAGGAGACAGAGACAGAGCAAAUGACAGGAAACAAAUUUUGAAGCUUCUUUUCAUUCUUUCAGAGUGGUUUAACAAUACUCUCAAAUGAAUUAAAAUAAAUAAAUAAAAUAAAAUAACAUAAAUUGGUAAAUGAAUAAAACUUGUUUAGUGGGCUCGUUUUUUAGGAAAAUACUACAGUAACAAGAAAUGAAAUGAAUCAUUUCCAUUCUUAGAGUUUGUGAAGGAAACCAGAAAACGCCAUAUUGGCAUUCUCAAAUUUUUGUUCUCUGCCAAGGGUCACACCAAUUUGACUUUGUAUGAUCAUUGCAAUAAAUUUUGUGGGUCCUACAAUAAAGAUGUCUUAUUUCCAUUAUUAUAAUAUAUAAGAAUAUGAACAAAUGUGAAUAUAAUUAUAAAUUGAUUCAUAUUAUCUUAAAUAUUAUUAUGUUAUAAUAAAACACAAUAAAAAAUACAUUACUAUUUUUAAAAAUACAAAAUUAACUUUUUUGGAAUAUUUGUAAAAACUUAAAAAGUAAUGCACAAAAAAUAUAAUUAUCUAACUAAAUAAAUUUUUAGUGACAUAAUAUAUUUAUUAUAUUACAUUAUGAUAUUAUAUAGAAACUUUCAUAUUUAUCUACUAAAGUAAUAAAAGACCAUUUAAAAAAAUGACACUUUAUGACAAUUAACUCACCCCAAAAAAAAAAAUCAACUAUAAAAAAAUCAUUAAAUAAUGAGUAAUCCUUUACCCUCUCUCACUGUUCCAACUUUUUCAGACAAACAACCAAACAUCUUUUCAUUGUUUUCAUUUUCAUAUGCUAUUUUUAAAAUAAGUUACCAAACACGUUUUUAUUUUUAAAAGUAUCACAUCAAAAACACAAUUUUUCUUUCUCUAAACAAAUGUAAAAAACAUCAAUUGGAAAACAAUACCAAACACACCCUUAGACAUUCUUAAGAAACGGUGUACAUGGCACAAACAGAAUUACCAACAGAGAUCUGAAAAACUUACAAGUGACAGUGCAGACAACAUAGUUAUUAGAAUGCUUAACUUUCCUUCUCAAAAAAAAAAAAAAAAAAAAAAAAAAAAAGUGCAGACAACAUGGAAUGGAUCCUUACUUGCUUAACUUCAGUUUCAUUGUCUGAAGCUUAAGUGCAGGUGCAGAAUGAUGAGCUCUGAUACCAUGAGCACUUCGUUUGUUAGAAUUUGAUUGCAGCUGCUGGGAUAUUUUCCCAUUCAUAUAGAACUUGUCAUUAGCAAUAUUGAAUUUCCAGUCAGACUCAUAUUUUUGACCCGCCGGCUCAGUAAAAUCCCCACCACUUGGCUUUGCAGAUCGAGUUAUGAUCAUAGCCCCUGCAUGAAGCAGGGGGUGUUCUACAUCCUUGUUAUCCAGAAUUUCAAAGAGCAUCUGCUCAUCUUGAAGAUCAAGAAUCAGCUUAGGCUUUCCUACAGCAUCCACUGGCUCCCAUAUAAUAUUGUCUAACCAAGAUCCUUCCAUCAUAUCUCUGUUCUGCAAUGAAUGUUUGCUAAGGCGUUUUACAGCAUCGCUUUGGCAGAGCUUCAUUGAAACAUUCUCUUUUAUACCAUUUGCAUGAUUAUGAUUAUCCAGAUCCAGCUGAGAUUCUAACCUCAAAAGCUGAGGAUGGUAUCUGCUUUCUGUGAACAGAUGACUUGUAUUAUCUGAAGAACUUUUAGAACCAAAGGUCUCCGACAAAACAGGAGAAUUUUGCAUAUUAACAAUACAAUCCUUCUCAUUUGGGCUCAUAGAUCUCGCAUGAAGAUUAUUUUGUGCAGUAUCAAGUUCAAUGCCCUCAUUAAAGCAGAUUCUACGUCGGCUCCAGCGAUUUUAUGACUCUCUGUAGAAUUGUCACUCGCUGCAGGAGAAUUGUCCCAGAGGAUGUUUUCUUCCCAAUCAUGCUGAUCAAGAGGGAAAACGUUCGGACUCGACAUUGACUUCCAUCCUACAGAAAGAUUUACAUUUGACUCCUCUUUCAUUGGCUCUGAACAAAUACAAGAGUCCUUCCAUUGCUCAUCGCGCCGUUCCGAUAUAGUGGCAGCAUCUUGCUCGACACCAAACUUUACUAAUUCCGAGUCAUCAUCAUUAAGUGAGGAGAUAUCAUGCUUAAAAAUAUUGGCCUGUUUAAAUAAUGGAAAACCUAGACCAGAGCCCUUUAGAUACACCUCUUCAUCCUCUUCAACAAGACUUGAAACGUCCAUGGUGUUGUAUUUAUCUAGAAAUAAAGGGUGGAAGGGAGGAUCCAGAUAAUUAAAACAAGAACAAAGUAAGAACCACGAAUGUAAGUUUAAAAAGAAUAGCUCCCAGAAUUCAAGAAAAUUGGAAGCACUAAAAACAAAACCACCUACCUUUAGGAGUGAAAUACCUUUGAUCUCUUUUCUUCCCCUUCUUCAAGGGCUCAUGAAUACCAAAAAUUUCGGAGAACCUUAAGAUCACCUUUCCUUCUUCCACACAUAAAACUGGAAGUGGAGUCGAAACUUCUCCAUCUAAUGGCCCUUUCAGAAUAUCAGCAAGCUCCUGUUGGUAUUUAUGUUAACAGACUAAUAACAUUGGUUUUUAAUGGUAUUAAACAAACAUGUCAGCAAGAUUGGGUUUUGCAUUCGCGAGAUGACAGACAUAAUUAUAUCGAUAAACUUAAAUGGAAUAAAAGAAUGACAGAUGCUGCACGUCCAAGAAAUAGGUAGCUUGACACAAACCAAUCCACACAGGACAACAAAAUAUCUUUACCCACUAUAUCUUUGGCAUCAACUAUUAAAAGUGCAGAAUCACACCACCUCUUGCUUAUGGAUGAAUGAUGAAAUCAAAGUCAACCUUUUUCAGUUUAUUUCAAAAAGACUAAUCAUUUCUUUCUUUCUUUCUUUUUUUUUUUUUUUUUUUUUGAGGGCUAAGAGACAAAUACUUUUUUUUUUUUUUUUUUUUUUUUUUUUUUUUUUUUUUUUUUUUUUUUUUUUUUUUUUUUUUUUUUUUUUUUUUUUUUUUUUUUUUUUUUUUUUUUUUUUUUUUUUUUUUUUUUUUUUUUUUUUUUUUUUUUUUUUUUUUUUUUUUUUUUUUUUUUUUUUUUUUUUUUUUUUUUUUUUUUUUUUUUUUUUUUUUUUUUUUUUUUUUUUUUUUUUUUUUUUUUUUUUUUUUUUUUUUUUUUUUUUUUUUUUUUUUUUUUUUUUUUUUUUUUUUUUUUUUUUUUUUUUUUUUUUUUUUUUUUUUUUUUUUUUUUUUUUUUUUUUUUUUUUUUUUUUUUUUUUUUUUUUUUUUUUUUUUUUUUUUUUUUUUUUUUUUUUUUUUUUUUUUUUUUUUUUUUUUUUUUUUUUUUUUUUUUUUUUUUUUUUUUUUUUUUUUUUUUUUUUUUUUUUUUUUUUUUUUUUUUUUUUUUUUUUUUUUUUUUUUUUUUUUUUUUUUUUUUUUUUUUUUUUUUUUUUUUUUUUUUUUUUUUUUUUUUUUUUUUUUUUUUUUUUUUUUUUUUUUUUUUUUUUUUUUUUUUUUUUUUUUUUUUUUUUUUUUUUUUUUUUUUUUUUUUUUUUUUUUUUUUUUUUUUUUUUUUUUUUUUUUUUUUUUUUUUUUUUUUUUUUUUUUUUUUUUUUUUUUUUUUUUUUUUUUUUUUUUUUUUUUUUUUUUUUUUUUUUUUUUUUUUUUUUUUUUUUUUUUUUUUUUUUUUUUUUUUUUUUUUUUUUUUUUUUUUUUUUUUUUUUUUUUUUUUUUUUUUUUUUUUUUUUUUUUUUUUUUUUUUUUUUUUUUUUUUUUUUUUUUUUUUUUUUUUUUUUUUUUUUUUUUUUUUUUUUUUUUUUUUUUUUUUUUUUUUUUUUUUUUUUUUUUUUUUUUUUUUUUUUUUUUUUUUUUUUUUUUUUUUUUUUUUUUUUUUUUUUUUUUUUUUUUUUUUUUUUUUUUUUUUUUUUUUUUUUUUUUUUUUUUUUUUUUUUUUUUUUUUUUUUUUUUUUUUUUUUUUUUUUUUUUUUUUUUUUUUUUUUUUUUUUUUUUUUUUUUUUUUUUUUUUUUUUUUUUUUUUUUUUUUUUUUUUUUUUUUUUUUUUUUUUUUUUUUUUUUUUUUUUUUUUUUUUUUUUUUUUUUUUUUUUUUUUUUUUUUUUUUUUUUUUUUUUUUUUUUUUUUUUUUUUUUUUUUUUUUUUUUUUUUUUUUUUUUUUUUUUUUUUUUUUUUUUUUUUUUUUUUUUUUUUUUUUUUUUUUUUUUUUUUUUUUUUUUUUUUUUUUUUUUUUUUUUUUUUUUUUUUUUUUUUUUUUUUUUUUUUUUUUUUUUUUUUUUUUUUUUUUUUUUUUUUUUUUUUUUUUUUUUUUUUUUUUUUUUUUUUUUUUUUUUUUUUUUUUUUUUUUUUUUUUCUUUCUUUUUUUUUUUUUUUUUUUUUUUUUUUUUUUUGAGGGCUAAGAGACAAAUACUUUCAUUUGACACACAAGAUAAUGAAACAUACAAAUAAUAGUACAAAUGAAGUACACUAUUCAAUGUUUAUAAUUGACAUCUAUAUAAACCGUGAGGUGAGGUUUAUGUCCAUCACUUAUCCUAUAUAUGUGUAGAUGGAACUCUGCUAGUGGGAAGUAUGCGGAUCAAAUUAAAUGGUUUCAGCCAAUUUCUUCUUUCUUUUUGGGGGGGUGGGUAGGGCCCACUUGGGACUGCUGCACUGUGCACGACAGUACAGAACAGGGCCAUAAUAUCUAGCACCCUUUGCAACAUGCAGCAACUGAUAUGAGUAAUUCAUUCCCAGGAAAAAUAAGACUCUCAUUAUUUGGCUUUGUAUCCAAAUGCAAUCCAGUGAGAUGGAGUGAUAUAAUGGAAAUCAUGUAGUGGGCCCAAUCAUGAAGUUUGUAAAAUUCAUUCUUGAAAUUGCAUUAUUCACGAAAAAAAAAUAGACCUUCAUUUAAUUUCAUUAAAUUUCCAUCUCUAUACAUAUGACAACAGGAAUAUGAUAAGAGCAAGUUUUGACAACACGAUUUCCCAACUCGUAGAUCAGCAGGAGACAAAAGAUAUGAGUAGGCAAAGAACUCGUAUACUUAUUUGAUUAACCCACAAGUUUUGAUGGUUUGAUAACAAGAGUAUAAAAAGCACCUACAAAAAAAGCCCAACAUAAAAAAGCACCCACAAACUACAGGUUGUACCACCUGCCCAUAUGGUCGGUAACUAGUUUGACCAAGAAGCAAAAAUACACACAUACAACAAGAGUAGUUUCCGCAAAGCAGCUCAGGACUUAAUUAUUGCCAAUUACACAUUUCCAAAACAGUGUUACUAAUAAACAUUUGUUGCUUCUAACCAAAUAGUGCAUAUUUCCUCAGAAUUUUCAUUGCAAAUAUGUUACGUAAUUAAUUUUCCCAUAGGAUAUCCUACAAGCUCGAUGCCACAUCAUGCCAUAUCAUGAAUGCAGGAUAUUCAUCUAAGAUAUGAAUCAAACAAUCCUGAAAAGCAAAAGCAUAUCAUCCUGAAUCCACUGAUUCAGAGUAAUCGCAUUUCAUUUGCAACAAUUCCACCACUUUCUUUCAGUCUUUAGAGUGAAAAGUGGAAACUAAGGGUUACUCAUCAAAACACUUUUUUAGACAUUCUAAUAUAAGAAGACAUUUACACGAUAAAAGAAAUUAAAAAAAAAAAAAAUCGUAAGGGCAAUGGAAUGACAAUAUCUAGAAAUGAUAAGAAAAUUACUAGGCACCAACUGACCUCAUCAUAAUCUUGUACCCCAGCUGUUGUAUCUUCUUCAGCACCCAAAGAGCCAACUUGUAGAUUGCCCUCUGGGGAUUUUUCCCCAUCUGGAACUGCUAUAGCACACUCAGCCUGCCCCCCUGGAAAUAAGACAGAAAGUCAAAACACCAAAUAAAACUAUGAAAAGAAAAUCAAUUGUCAAAAGUUAUCAAAUGGUCAAGAAACAACGAUAACUAGAUAUCCAAAGAAUAAAUUACUAUACAUUCAGGAAAGAAGGAAACUCAGUCUCCAAAAAAUGACAAGCAUAAAACCAUUCUGGUCUCCACAGAUAAAAUUCUCCUAUCACUAGGUAAGAUUGCUUCAUUAGAUAACCUAUAAACAUUCAAGUAAGUUCACCAUAAUUUGUAAGAGACAAAAAGGCUGGGGUCAGUAAACAUGGCAAAGGCUAAGUCGCAUUCAAACUAUGUACUCACCAUCCAACAACAUAACAAAUCAAAGCAAGUUUCUUCUUACAUGUGAAGAAGUUACAGAACAAUAAAAAACCCAUACUCAUACAAACAGUCGAUGAAAAAUGAACAUAGAUAUGAAAAUUUCUGUUUAGACAAUCUGAUGCUGAAAACACUCCAACCAAACAGAUGUUAGAGCUGGGCAAAGAUAAAUCGUAUUUUUAUGGAUACAUGAUGACAAGCCAAACCAAAUGUCCACAUGAAAUAAACAAUUACAAUGAUCAUAACAAUAAAAGUACACACACACACAUUGAAAUAUCUGUAUAUACAAGGUUAGUAGUUUUAAAUAUAAGAUUAGGUAAAGUAAACCUGAUAAGGUUGUUGUUGUAUCUUCAGUUUCUUUAUCCACCUCCUCAUGUUCCUUUUCCAGCUCCUCAUCCUCAUCAUAAUUUUCAUCAUCAAAUGGAAAAGCUGUAGGUUUCAAAGCAGCAAGAGAAACUUCAGCAGCAAAGUAUUCCUUCUUUGGUAACAAGUAGUCCUCCUCGCUAGCAAUUUGAAUCUCUGGCCCCUCAUACUGCUCAUCCAUAUCUUCAUAAUCUACUGCAUCUUCAGCCUUCUCAUCAUAAUCUAGAAGAACAAAACCAAAAAAAUUUAAUCACAAAACUUAACCAGAAAGAACAACUAUUUAAAACCGUGAAUUGGACUGAAGUUCCAUCCAUUAUUCAGUAAAUCUAAAAUAGGAAUAAUCCCAUCUGUCCACCUAACAAUAAAUCAAGUAUUGAAGCUGUAAUCUAGAACAAAAGAUCAUUAACUAGAUUGUGAUGAAAAAAAUAAUCAUCUGUCUGCUAGAGGGUAAAGAAAAUAUAACCUCGGUAGUAAAAAGUACCAAGGAAAAAUUUAUAGUCAGAAACUGCAUAAAGAACGAACCAAUAUAGAGGGUAAAGCUUCUUAAUUCAUCAAUGACAUAAAACACAGACCAUCAAAGAAGAUAAUGAAUAUUACAAAAGUGAACCAGAGGUCCAUUAACUAAAAUCUUCCCCGCAGUGUAGAACACCAAAAGCUAUACAAAAUUUUCAAAAAGGAACCCUUGAAACCCAAGACACAAGAAUAAGAAUCCAAACUAACAAAAUUAACUCAAAACUGGAUCCCAAUCAAGCUGAAUGAAAAAGAAUGUGUAAUCUUGAAAAUCCUUGGAAGUUGACACCCAAAUAGUAGAAAAGAAUCGAAUCCCGUCCAAUAACCAUUAAAUAUCUUCAUCUUUUUCCCCUAAAAAAAUAUGGCUAUUUCUCUUUUUCUCCUAAAAAGAUACGGCUAUUUCUUUCUUGCCGAAUCACCCAAAAGAGAACUCCAUACAAAGGUAAUAUCACAAUUGAUUAUGAUAGGUUAUACUAAUUGUGGAAUUAAGGGUAUAAAAGGCCAAGCUGUAUUUGACUGGAGGGUAAUUCCACUUACUGAAACCACUUCACACAUAUCCAAAUCCCAAAAUAAUAGCAAAAGAAGGCCCCCUACUGGAUAUUGCACAAUAAUAAGUCUUGCAUGGACCAUUCUGUUUGUGCCAAUGAUUCAAAGACUUUUCCAUUACUAUUAAUGCUAAAUGCUUCUACAAUGUCUUUAAACAAAGGAAAUAAUUAUUAAGAAAACAAGUUGAUGAAACAAAGAUACUAACAGAAAACCAAAAACUGCAUGAGAGAGAUUUUCCUGGGAAACAAACAUCACCUCGUUGAAUAGCAUCUACCGGCAGUUGUGGUGAAUUUACUGACAACUGAAAGGUGAAAAACCUCAUUAGUAUCAUACCAUUGAAGAGACACUAAAGAUUCCGCCAACCAAACACUAAAAACAAAAAAGUUGAAAACACGAUUGAGAAUUCCAUACGUCUACAUCCGUGAGAGAUGGACCCAACUUGUCGGCAACUGCAGCAAGGUGCUCCUUUGCGUCCUGAAAAUUAAUUGCAUCACUACCAUUAAUGUGAUCAACAGUUCUAGAGAUGAACUCUGAUGGCCCAAGAAAAAAAAUGAAAGAAAAUUCCAAAUCUAUAAAAACAGAAAUUGUAAACUCCUUUUGGCCAUACGAAAGCAAAAUUAAAUGUCAUUCUGUAGAGACCAAAUGGAUACAAAAACAUGAUAUAAUGAUACGUCAUUAUUUUCUUCAGCAUAUGUACCACAGAUCAAUACAUAAUAGCAGAACUGACACCAAUGAGCAUCAAAAUUGUCAGGUCUAGCCUUCUUAUUUCCAAUAAGUGGAUGCAUCAAAAGAGUAGAAUUCAACCAUGGUCCCCAAAGUAAAUGCCUCAAAAAAAAUCAAAAGAUUUGUGACAUGGAUAAACUUUAUAACAUGCACAAUUCACAAGGAAAAGCUAAAAACAUCCAACUGAAGACUGUCAUGCUUAGACUUGUCUGCAUGCAGCUAGCUGUUAUCAUUAUUAGUUAAUUUAUAUGCAAAUUUAUACAUGAAACAUGUUCAGAUUAUCACCUCAUCAAGGUAAUCAACAUCGAGAUCGCCAGCAUUGUCAACAUUCCCGAACAUAAACCCCAAAAGCCUGUUACCGCCGCUAACAUCCUCAUAUUCUUCCGCAUCAUCUGGAAAAUCAAUCAACCAAACAAGAUUUGAGAAUAAAAAUUUUCAUGCCGUGUACAAACACAUUGUAAGGUGUCAAAAGAAAACAAAAUGCAGUACAUAUAGACAACAAGCAAAUGCUCAACCAGUCGUGAAAAGGUUCCAAGUAAAACCAUUUCUAAAAGAAACAGUCUGUCACAUGUUACAUAAUAAUUACAGCAUUCAUUAUACUGGAGACCAACCUUUAUGUUGCCAUUCGUACUAGAGACUAUUUGUAACUAAUCAGCAAUAAAUUGGUGAAGUGAAACCAAAAACAAGUGAGCUACUUUCUGAUGAAGCAUCCUAGACAUGUCCAUUGAUAGACUCUGAGCACUUCUUACCAUAAAAUCUUUUUUCAAAACAAAAAAAAAAAGAACAAAAACUCUGAGCACUCACUCCCAGCAAAAACGGAAAUGAAUUCAUAAAAUGAAAGUUCUAAAAUGCAGUACUAACGAGAUAAUUUCACUUAGGAGCCAUUUAGAUAUUUCAAAUGACGAUAUUUUGCAUAUUAAAGGAGUAAUCAAUACAACAUUUUGAUGGUUCAUACAGUAUGCAUUACAAAUUUAAUUUAUACUCUCAAACCUAGUGUUUCAGCCUCUAUUUUCAUUAUGCAACUACAAAUUCAUGUGUAUAUUAAUAGUUCAUAGAAGACUAUUCAAGUACAGUACAACAUAAUACACUUUUUUUUUCCCUGAAACGAAAGUAAAUAUAACAUUAAAUCAAGAACUCACUAGACUAUGAAGCAACUAACUGACCUUCAUCUCUGCCAUCCUUAGAAGCACUACCCGAAUCGUAGCCACCCAUCUUUUUAGUUACAGCUCUGAAGUAACAAUCAAAGUUGAAUCAGAAACAGGUAACAAAUACUCAGAAGACCCAUAAUAGAAAUUCCAAGUUCGACACUUUUUUCUCCUUUUCAGUAAUUUUAAGGGAAAGUACCAAUAAAUUAUAAGAGCUAUAAAUUAUAAACCCUAAAAUGCGAAGCUCAUACUGACAACAAAUUCAUUGUAAAGAAUUAAAAAAUUGCUAGCACGAAAAAUAAAAAAAUUACUUCAGUAAUUGCAACAAGAGGUUACUAUAACUUCAUCUAAAUAACUGAAUUUCAAAAGGAAACAAAGCUAAGACAAGCUUAAUUCACAAGAAAAGGGUAAUUGCCGCAAAAAAGAUAAAUAUAUCUGCUGUACCGUACAUCCGCCUUGGCCGUACAGCAGGCUCACCAAUGUGAAAUCAUAACUGUUGUCAAAAGUUAUCAAAUGGUCAAGAAUCAAUUACUAUACAUUCAGGAAAGCAGGAAACUCAGUCUCCACAAAAUGGCAAGCAUAAAACCAUUCUGGUCUCCACAGAUAAAAUUCUCCUAUCAGUAGGUAAGAUUGAUUCAUUAGAUAACCUAUAAAUAUUCAAGUAAGUUCACCAUAACUUGCAAGAGCAAAAAGGCCGGGGUCAGUAAACAUGGCAAAGGCUAAGUUGCAUUCAAACUACGUGCUCACCAUCCAACAACAUAACAAAUCAAAGCAAGUUUAUUCUUACAUGCGAAGAAGUUACUAAACAAUAAAAAACCCAUACUCAUACAAACAGUCCAUUAAAACUGAGCAUAGAUAUGAAAAUUUCUGUUUACACAAUCUGAUGCGGAAAACACUUCAACCAAACAGAUAUUAGAGCUGGGCAGAGAUGAAUCCUAUUUUUAUGGAUACAUGAUGACAAGCCAAACCAAAUGUCCACAUGAAAUAAAUAAUUACAAUGAUCAUAAUAAUACAAGUACACACGCUCGCGUGCGCAUCGAGAUAUAUGUAUAUAUGUAUUGAAUAUACAUAUAAGGUUAGUAGUUUUAAAUCUAAGAUUAGGUAAAGUAAACCUGAUAAGAUUGUUGUUGUAUCUUCAGUUUCUUUAUCCACCUCUUCAUGUUCCUUUUCCAGCUCCUCAUCCUCAUCAUAAUUUUCAUCAUCAAAUGGAGAAGCUGUAGGUUUCAAAGCAGCAAGAGAAACUUCAGCAGCAAAGUAUUCCUUCUUUGGUAACAAGUAGUCCUCCUCGCUAGCAAUUUGAAUUUCUGGUCCCUCAUACUGCUCAUCAAUAUCUUCAUAAUCAACCGCAUCUUCAGCCUUCUCGUCAUAAUCUAGUAGUACAAAACCAAAAAAAUUUAAUCACAAAACUUGACCAGAAAUAACAACUAUUUAAAACUGUGAAUUGGACUGAAGUUCCCUCCAUAAUUCAGUAAAUCUAAAAGACGAACAAUCCCAUCUCUCCACCUAACAAUAAAUCAAACAUUUGAAGCUGUAAUGUAGUACAAAAAUCAUUAACUAGAUUGUGGUGAAAAAAAUAAUCAUCUAUCUGCUAGAGGGUAAAGAAAUUAUAACCACCGUGGUAAAAAGUACCAAAGAAAAAUUUAUAGUCAGAAACUGCAUAAAGAACGAAUCAAUAAAGAGGGUAAAGCUUCUUAAUUAAUCAAUGACAUAAAACACAGACCAUAAAGCUCAAAAAAUACGAUCUUGUUCAAUGAAAACCUCAAAAACUAUUGUCAGAUCAUAUUAGUUCAACAUCUCAUUAUAUCACCUUUGAGACAUUUUAUCAGUUGUCCUACAUACAAAGGUAAUUUUCUUUUUAUAGGAAACAGAGAAACUUUAUAGAAUAUUAGAAGGUAAUGAGUAUUACACAAGUGAACCAGAGGUCCAUAAACUAAAAUCUUCCCCACAGUGUAGAACACCAAAAGCCAUACAAAAUUUUCAAAAAGGAACCCUUGAAACCCAAGACACAAGAAUAAGAAUCCAAACUAACAAAAUUAACUCAAAACUGGAUCCCAAUCAAGCUGAAUGAAAAAGGAGUAAUCUUGAAAAUCAUUGGAAGUUGACACCCAAAUAGUAGAAAAGAAUCGAAUCCUGUCCAAUAACCAUUAAUAUCUUCAUCUUUUUCCCCUUAAAAAAUAUGGCUAUUUCUCUUUUUCCCCUAAAAAAAUAUGGCCAUUUCUUUCUGACAAGUCACCAAGAAGAGAACUACAUACAAAGAUAAUAUCACAAUUGAUUACGAUACGUCAUACUAAUUGCAGAAUUAAGGGUAUAAAAGGCCUAGCUUUAUUUGACUGGAGGGUCAUUCCACUGACUGAAACCACUUCACACAUAUCCAAAUCCCAAAAUAAGAGCAAAAGAAGGCCCCCUACUCCAUUACUAUUAAUGCUAAAUGCUUCCACAAUGUCUUUAAACAAGGGAAAUAAUUAUAAAAAAAAACAAGUUGAUGAAACAAAGAGACUAACAGAACACCAAAAACUGCAUGAGAGAGAUUUUCCUGACAAACAAACAUCACCUUGUUCAACAGCAUCUACCGGCGGUUGUGGUGAAUUUACUGACAACUGGAAGGUGAAACACCUCAUUAGUAUCAUACCAUUUAAGAGACACUAAAGAUUCUGCUGACCAAACAGUAAGAACAAAAAAGUUGAAAACAUGAUUGAGAAUUCCAUACGUCUAUAUCCGUGAGAGACGGACCCAACUUGUCGGCAACUGCAGCAAGGUGCUCCUUUGCGUCCUGAAAAUUAAUUGCAUCACUACCAUUAAUGUGAUCAACAGUUCUAGAGAUGAACUCUGAGGGGAAAAAAAUGAAAGAAAAUUCCAAAUCUAGAAAAACAGAAAUUGUAAACCCCUUUUGGCCAUACGAAAGCAAAACUAAAUGUAGUUCUGUAGAGACCAAAUGUAUACAAAAACAUGAUAUAAUGAUACGUCACUAUUUUCUUCAGCAUAUGUACCACAGAUCAAUACAUAAUAGCAGAACUGACACCAAUAAGCAUCAAAAUUGUCAGGUCUAGCCUUCUUAUUUCCAAUAAGUGGAUGCAUCAAAAGAGUAGAAUUUAACCAUGAUCCCCAAAGUAAAUGCCUCAAAAAAAUCAAAAGAUUUGUAACAUGGAUAAACCUUAUAACAUGCACAAUUCACAAGGAAAAGCUAAAAACAUCCAAGUGAAGACUGUCAUGGGUAGACAUGUCUGCAUGCGGCUAGGUGUUAUCAUUAUUAGUUAUUUUAUAUGCGAAUUUAUACAUGAAACAUGUUCAGAUUAUCACCUCAUCAAGGUAAUCAACAUCGAGAUCACCAGCAUAGUCAACAUUCCCGAACAUAAACCCCAAAAGCCUGUUACCUCCACUAACAUCCUCAUAUUCUUCCUCAUCAUCUGGAAAAUCAAUCAACCAAUCAAGAUUUGAGAAUAAUAAUUUUCAUGCUCUGUACAAACACAUUUUAAGGCGCCAAAAGAAAAAAAAAUGCAGUACAUAUAGACAACAAGCAAAUGCUCAACCAAAAGGUUCCAAGUAAAACUAUUUCCAAAAGAAGCAGUCCGUCACAUGUUACAUAACAAUUCAAGCAUUCAUUAGACUGCAGACCAACCUUUAUGUUGUCUUUUGUACUAGAGACUAUUUGUAACGAAUCAGCAAUAAAUUGGUUAAGUGAAACCAAAAACAAGUGAGUUACUUUUUGUUGAAGCAUCCUAAACAUGUCCGCCGACAGACCCUGAGCACUUCUUGCCAUAAAUUUUCUGUUUUUUUAAAAAAAAAAAGGAACAAAGACUCUGAGCACUCACUCCUAGCACAGACAGAAAUGAAUUCAUAAAAUGAAAGUUCUAAAACACAGUACUAACGAGAUAAUUUCACUUAGGAGCCAUUUAGACAUUUCAAAUGACAAUAUUUUGCAUAUUAAAGGAGUAAUCAAUACGACAUUUAGAUGGUUCAUACAUUUUGCAUUACAAAUUUAAUUUAUACUCUCAAACCUAGUCUUUCAGCAUCUAUUUUCAUCAAGCAACUAUAAAUUCAUGUGUAUAUUAAUAAUUCUUAGAAGACUAUUCAAGUACAGCACAACGUAAUACACUUUUUUUUUAUAACUGAAAUGAUAGUAAAUAUAAAUUAAAUCAACAACUUAUUAGACUAUGAAGCAACCAACUGACCUUCAUCUCUGCCAUCCUUAGAAGCACUACCCGAAUCGUAGCCACCCAUCUUUUUAGUUACAGCUCUGAAGUAACAAUCAAAGUUGAAUCAGAAACAGGUAACAAAUACUCAGAAGACCCAUAAUAGAAAUUCCAAGUUCUGCACUUUUUCUUCUUUUCAGUAAAUUUAAGGGAAAAUACCAGUAAGUUAUAAAUUAUAAACCCUAAAAUGGCAAAGCUCAUACUGACAAAAAAUUCAUUGUAAAUAAUUAAAAAAUUGCUAGAACGAAAAAUAAAAAAUUACUUAAGUAAUUGCAACAAGAGGUUACUAUAACUUCAUUUAAAUAACUGAAUUUCAAAAGGAAACAAAGCGAAGACAAGCUAAAUUCACAAGGAAAGGUAAUCGCCACAAAAAAUAUAAGAUAUGCACACACAUAUUUAUUUGUUUAUUUAUUUAUUUAUUUAUAUGAGAGAGGUAAAAGCAAACCUCUUAGGUUACAGAGAUUUUAUCAUUGCAAUCGAGAAUAUGAAUACGCUCAUGUAGAAGAACUAGAACAAGAUUCGAUUUGAAUUGGCAAGGAGAACAGAGAAAGUGAGCGAGAGCGAGACAACAAAAGCGGAGAUGGGGGACUAACAGAUUAUUUUUAUAUCAAUAUUAUGUGAAUAAAUUAAUAAAGUUUUCGUAUCUGAAACGGAUAUGGAGAGGUCGGGUUUUAGAGGAAGGCGGUCGCAAAUACGGGUUUGCAUCGGGUUAAUUGCAACCUGAUACAAAACAAAUCCUAUUGGCCAUACCAUUGAGCUACAAAGUGAGAAGUUUCGUGGCUUCGACGGAGACAGCUCCAACCCGAUCUCCCGCGGUCUAGUACAAAAGCCUCACACUCAUGAGAUUUGAAGUUUCAGGCUGAGGUAACUCUUGUCUUAACUCUAAUUAAUCGGCCUGAUUCCUUAACUGACUUAUGAGACUAGUAAGGCUUCGCUGUCCUCCCCCUAAUUGGUAUUUUCUAGGUUGGUAAAUUGCAGGCUUGAGCUGGGCUUUUUUAAGUCCAAGCCCAUGUAAUUGGUAAGGGGCCCAAGCCCUCUAAAAGCUUGUUCAAAAUUUGAGAGGGCCGGGCUUUGAUUUUUAAUAAUUUAAUAAAUUUUUAUUUUUAUUUCUUUUUUAUUGGGUGAGAGCUACAUAUGGCAUUUUCAUUUAUAGAUGGAAACUUUUUGGGAAAUUUACAGUAAUAAUUAUUAAAGUUUUAAUUUUUUUCAUCUUAACCCCCCAAAAUAUUUCUAUCAAUAUUAGCCAUAAAACAACUUUUGAGACCAAAAUACCCCUCCCUCAUCUCUCCCUCAACACUGCCUUUCACUCAUCUCUCCCAAACCGAUCCAACUCCCAUCAUCGGCGGCGACAUCAACCCUCGUCGGCGGCGGCUCCAUCUCUCACCGGCAACCGAUCUACUAUCUACAACCUUCAACAAAACUUAGGUUAGUCAUUUUUCUUAUUUUCAUUAAUUUAAAAUGAGAUUUUAGAAUAAUGAUAAGUGCAUAUUUUUCAUAUAUUUUACUAUUAAUUUCUCCAUCUUUUUCUUGUUUUGGUCUUAAAUAUUCUAAUUAUUUUAGUUAAUUUUUAAAUUAUACAUAUUUUACCCUUAAUUAUUUAAUUACUAGUUAUUUUUAUUUGUUAUUUUUAAUUAAUUAAAUUAUUUUAUUGAAUAGGGAAUCAAUUGGAGAUUAUGAAUAAAAAGGGCAUGAAGAAGUUCAAAUUGAGAAGGAAUAAAGAUUAAAUUGGAAGACAAAAAUACAGACAAAAAUUGAUAAAACCGAGUGGAAGAAAUCAAAAUAAUUAAUCCAAUUGAGAAAUGUUGAAUAAUUAAAAGAUUUAAUUUUUUCCAAUUGGCAAUUGGAGUACAUGUGCAUGGCAUUGCAAAAGUAGAAAGCAUUUAAACAGGCCCGCAAUUGACUUUCAAAAGUUGGAAUUAAUGGCUUUUGGUGGCGUUAAAUUGGAAAAGGAUUUCAAUUAGAAUUGAAAAAGGAUUUCUUUAUUCUUGUUGGAGAAGAAUUCGGUCAACUAGCAUUAUAAAAGGAGAUUGCAGCCGCUGGACAGAAAAAAAGAGGAGGGCAAAUCCAAUUCGGCAGCAAGAGGAAAAUCAACAGCCGCAAGAAGAAGAAAAAAAUCAGCAGCCGGAAUUCAAUUGAAGAAAAAGGCAGCCGCUUGAAUUAAUCUCAAUGAUUGGUUUUUUCAAUUCUCUUAUUUCCAAUUCAAUCAUGUUAGGCUAGAUUUUUAUUUGGUUGAGGGUGAAUUCAAAACCCUAAACAUGCUAUGCAAUUAAAUUUAAAUUCUAUCAUUCAAUUUAUUUAAUUGAGAUUGUUUAUGUUCUUUUAUAAUUAAUAUUCAUGGUUUAUUCUUGUUUUAUUUGAGUGGCCAAUUAGAUAGGACUUGAAUAAAUUUUAUUGCUAGAUUAAAAUUCUUGAUUCGUAAUUGUCUUGAUAUUUUAAUAAUUAGUAGCAGGUUAGAAUCAGUGAUUUCGAUUAGAGAACAUAACUUAGGUUAAAUAAUCCGAGCUUGUGUGUUUAUUGCCUAGAUCAACCUAAUAUCUUUCUUUGUUUAAUGCUUCCAUUAUCUUAAAUUUAAAGAGCUUGUUUUAAAUUAUUUAAUGGUUAGAGAUUAGGUGAAGAGCUUGUUUUGCCUAACGACACACUAAGGAAAGAUUGAGACUAACAGAGCUUAUUGUUGUCUACGGUUGAUAGUUUCAAUAUAAAUUGAUGAUAGAAUUAAUAUAUUAUGUGCAUGUUUGGUGGUGGCGAAUGAUCCUUUAACCAAAGUUUUCAUCAUUAUUAUUUCUUUCUCCUUUAAUUAGAGUUUUUAUUAAAUUCUUGUUCGUAAUUUUAAUUUCUUUAUUUCUUACUAUUUAGUUAAAAAUUCAUAAAUCCCCCUUUUAUUUUUAAUUGGCAUUUUCUUUAGUUAGAUUAAUUUAUAUUAUUAUUACUAUUACUAUUAUUAUUAUUACUAUUAUUUUAUUUUAAAUCUUGCUUUUGAGUUAAUAAUAAAUAUAACUAGCAUAGUCUAUGUGGGAUCGAUCCUUACUCGCUCUGUACUAAUUAUUUAUAUUAGUGGUAAGGUUUUAAAUUUGGUGCACCUUAACGACACUACCAAAUUUUUGGCGCCGUUGCUGGGGACUAGCGUCUAGUUUGUUUAUUAUCACUUGUUUUAUUUAUUUAUUUUCUUUAUUUCUUUUCUCAUUUUAUUUAUUUAUUUUAUUUUAAUUAGUUAUUUUUUGUUUUAUAUUUAGAUUUUCAUGAGCAUAGAGGACAUUCGAUUGAAACUCGAACAACUUAGAGCAAUCUCAUCAUAUUCAUAACUCGAUUUUGCCAUCCACAUUCCACUGCCAUUCACAUUCCACUCCCGAAAACAGAACCAAGCAGCCCAGAACCCGAACCAAUGGCUCAGAAUUGUAUUUAUGGAUGAUUUUACAGUUUAUUUUGAUUCUUUCGAUAAAUGUUUAGAUAACCUUACACUUGUUCUUAAACGAUGCAUUGACACUAACCUUGUGCUUAAUUGAGAAAAAUGUCAUUUUAUGGUUAAUCAAGGUAUUGUACUAGGCCAUGUUAUUUCUGAAAAGGGGAUUGAAGUUGAUAAAUCUAAGAUAGAUCGUAUACGCUCCUUACCACCUCCCACUAGUGUGAGGGAGGUUCGUUCUUUUCUUGGUCAUGCAGGUUUCUAUCGCAGGUUUAUCAAGGACUUCUCCAAGAUAGCUUUACCUCUCUGCAACUUACUUCAAACGGAUGCAACGUUUGACUUCAAUGAAGAGUGCCAAAGAGCUUUUAAGAAGUUAAAAGAGGUUUUGACAUCGGCCCCUGUGAUUCAACCACCAAACUGGGAUUUACCAUUUGAGAUUAUGUGCGAUGUCAGUGACUAUGCUGUUGGAGCCGUGUUGGGCCAGCGUGUGGCCCAGCUUCCUCAUGUCAUCUAUUAUGCCUCUCGUACAUUGAAUGAUGCACAACUUAACUACUCUACCACAGAAAAAGAACUUUUAGUAGUUAUCUUUGCCUUAGAGAAAUUUCAUUCUUAUUUAAUUGGAUCUAAGGUAAUCGUUUACUCUGACCAUGCAGCUAUUAGGUACUUGCUCACCAAAAAGGAUGCCAAACCGCGCCUUAUACGAUGGAUACUUCUAUUGCAAGAAUUUGACAUAGAGAUUCUAGAUAAGAGAGGUUCUGAGAAUUUGGUAGCAGAUCAUUUAAGUCGACUUAUCCAUAACGAAGAUGAACUUCCAUUGCAUGAGAACUUUCCAGAUGAGCAGUUAUUACAGGUAGGUACAGUUACUCCUUGGUAUGCAGAUAUUGUCAAUUACUUAGUUACCAGGACAAUACCAGAAGAGAUAACCCAUACUUGUGGAAGCAUUGUUCUGAUCAAGUUAUUAGAAGGUGUGUACCCGAAACUGAAUUUACUUCUAUUCUCACCUUUUGUCAUACUUUGGCUUGUGGAGGACAUUUUGGACCAAAGAGAACAGCCCUUAAAGUACUUGCGAGCAGUUUUUAUUGGCCAUCACUAUUUAAGGAUGCAUAUUUAUUUUGCAAAUCUACGAUCUACAACCUUCAACAAAACCUAGGUUAGUCAUUUUUCUUAUUUUCAUUAAUUUAAAAUGAGAUUUUAGAAUAAUAAUAGUUAUAGCUUGAGAAUAAUGGUGGCGGUGGUGAUGUUUGUGGUGGUUGGUGGUAUUUGGGGGUAUUGUUUUUUGAUUUUGGAGUGUUGUGGCUUAAUUUUGGGGGUGGGGAGGGAGGGGGGCAGGGCGCGCGCGCGCGCCCAUCGCUGGGCAGCAGCGCGCGGCCAUGCGCGGCACGCUGUUGCACCAAAUCAGCGUGCCCAUCGCUGGGCAGCAGCGCGCGCCCAUGCGCGCCUCGCUGUCGCACUAGAUUUGGUACGACAGGCGCCUGUCGCACCAAAAAUUAGAGUGUCCUUUUUUUCACGAGUCAAAUUUUUUUUUUUUUGUAAAUGUAAUGUAAUAAUUUUAUAAAUAUUACAGAUUCAUGGCGAAAUUAGAAUCACCGGAUAUCGAAGUAGGCAAGAUGUAUUUUCGUUAUGCCGAUCACUUUCCUGGUCGAAUUUCGAGCAUGUGUAAGUUAUCUUCGGUCGUAAAAGCCAUCGAGGAAAAAUUAACAAAGCGGCAGUUGAGUAUGUUCAAAAAGGAUAUAUUUGGGCAUUUCUUGGAGUGUCGAAGUUUUCCAUUUAGUGGGGUAAUUUUGCACAAUCUUUUACUGAGGCAAGUGGCCCAUGAAGAAGAUAGCCGUGAGGAUCAGUUAUGAUUUCAAAUUGGUGAGCAUUUGAUUCGCUUGUCAAUUGUCGAAUGGUGCUUGGUUACUGGACUUUCAUUUGUUGUUGAUACCAAUCAAAAAAAUGAUGAAAUGGAGCAGAGGCUACGGAAUACGUAUUUUGGUGGUGUGCAUCGUAAGAUUAAUGUGAACCAAUUCGAUGCAGUAUUUAAGAAGUUGAAAUUCGAGGAAAUGGACGAUAUGGACGCAUUAAAGAUUGCGCUGUUUUAUUUUGCGGACAGAGUACUAAAUGCAAGAAAAAAUCACUGUCAAAUCAAUUUCGAUUGGCUUGACCAAGUUGAUGAUAUACAGUACUUCCGAAACCAUCCAUGGGGUCUUGUGUCAUGGGAAAUGAUAUACGAUAGUCUUGACAAUGCACUGUUCGAGAAAGACAAUGGAAGCCCAUGGCGUCUUCGAAAAUCAACUUUGCGGAGGUUUAUUCGUUCUUCAACGACGAAUCUCGUCUUGUAAGUAAUAUGUAUUUUUUUUUUAACUUUACUAAAUUUAAGUUAUGUAUACUUACUUAAAAUUUUCAAUUGAAUUUAUGGCAGGGGGACGUUUUACAAACUCUUGAGCCAAAUUCAAAGGAGAGUAGCAGAAAAUAUUGGCUCUCUCUGUGAAGGAUUACUUGCCAAGCAUUCCAGACUGGGUUCAUAAGGUCGGUAUACUCUAAGUACUAAAAAUUUUUUAAUCGAAAUUUUUGACUUUUCAUUUACUAAUUUUAAAUGAUACUUUAUACAGCACCAACCCUCAAUCAACGCGAUGCGGUCGGUUACAAGGCAAUCAGACAAGCAUGAUGAUCACGACGACAUACCAAACCCAAUACCAGAGCAGCGUCAUGACACUUCUGAGGAUGAGGUGGCUGUUGAUGACCACCAGCAGCAAACAGACUACUCUGGAAUGGAAGCCCAUGGCGUCUUCAAAAAUCAACUUUGCGGAGGUUUAUUCGUUCUUCAACGACGAAUCUCGUCUUGUAAGUAAUAUGUAUUUUUUUUUACUCUGAUGAUGCAUGGGAUUCUGAGGUUAUAAAUAAUAUACGAUAUUUUUCCUUUAUAAAUUAUUAUUUUUUAUUGUUAUUCUAAAGUUUUAUUUUUUCUUUUGUAAUAGUCGAGGACAAAGCAGUUUAAUGAUUACAUAUAACGACGGCUAGAUAAGAUUGAUCGUAACGUGUAUGAAAUAAAGUCAGAAUUAAAAGAUUUUAAAGAAACCGUUGUUGGCUUCAUCGACACAUUUUCUAAACGUCCAAAUAAGGAUUCUCCCACUGCACGCUCGUAUGCGGUGAGCAAAUUUAAAUUUAAUAAUUAUGUUCGUUUAACUUUUAAUUUGAUAGUUGUUUAAUAUGUUCNNNNNNNNNNNNNNNNNNNNNNNNNNNNNNNNNNNNNNNNNNNNNUGUAUACUGUUGUGGAUUUGUGUAUAAAUUUUUUUUUAAAUCGUAAUAUUUCUGUUUCUCUACAGCAUAUUCACGAGUAUCUCCGCUUGAUUAGCGAGAAACAACGGCAGUAUCCAAAUGCCUUACUCCAACGUGUCACACAUACUGACACAUUUUUUUGGGUAACGUGCCGACAAAACUUAUAAAUACUAUUUAAUUUUUUUUAAUUAUUGCCUUUAAGUUUUGUUCAUUUAUGCAUUUCUUGGUUAUCUAUGUACUAGGUGUUCUUGAAUCAGUUAUGGAAUAACGGGGAUUGUUCGGUCGAUUCAUUGGUAUUCGACGACCGCUUGAAUAGAUAUCUUUGUGGGCGACAGCACACAAUGUCCAAAUCAAUGACGGAUGUCGAUAUGGUAUGUAUUUUAUUGCAUUUCACAUACUCCAUAAUGAAAAUAUUCGAGUUGUCGCUUUUUUUUGUUGUAUUUCAAUUUCAUAUAUAACGAACAUGUUUUUCAAUUUUAAUAUACAGUUACUCAUCCUUGUUAACUUGGACGGCGCGCAUUGGGUACUAGCACGAGUUGACUUUCGGAACAAUAAAGUCUGGAUUUAUGACUCAUUACUCACAUUUCGCGACGACAAAAGGUACAAGUUGAAAUUCAAGCCACUUGAAGUUAUAUUCCCUCGAUGGUUGGAAUAUGUUGGCUUUUACAACAUCCGACCCGAGUUGCGAAGUGUAGACCCCUGGAAAGUUAUCGCAGUUAAGAGCGCGCCACAACAAGAGCCCGAAACUGGCGAUUGCGGUGUUUUUGUAUUGAUGGUUACGAUGUAUUUAAUGUUCGGGCUUGGAUUGGAGUUUAACGCUAGUCAUGUCGAGUACUUUAGAAAGAAGAUUGCGGUUGACAUAUUUAAUGACGAUAUUGUAUUGUAAACCGUUGUAGUAAUUUGAAUGUUGAAACUUGAAUUUUUAUUUUAAUUUGCGCACUUAAAUUUAUAUAAUUUUAAUGCUCACAUUUUAAUAUUUAAAAUAAAAAUAAAAUUUUAUGACAUAUAAGUGUACAAUACACAAAAAACAAUUACAGUUUUAACCAACGAAAUACAAAAAGAACUAACUUCGAGUCGACGCAAUGGGAUUCUUACAUCGCUUAACCUUUACCUCGACCACAAAUCAUGGCGCAUGCGAUUGACAUGAGUAUGAGUGUGGAUGUAAAUCCACUGAGAGGAUUGGAGGACUCUAGUUUGUUUGCUGAGUUUGAUCGAUGGUUCACUGGUGAUAGCAAAGUCCGCCGGAGAGUCCAGCACCCGCGGUCAUUCUUUCAAAUACUUUUGGGUACAGCUUCGAUGGGAUGGCUAGGCAAUAAGGUAUUUAUAUUUUCGAAGUUAUGUAUACUGUUGUGUUGUGGAUUUGUUUCACCAAAAUUUUUCUUUUAAAUCGUAAUAUUUUUGUUUCUCUAUAGCAUAUUCACGAGUAUCUCCGCUUGAUUAGCGAGAAACAUGGAAUAACGGGGAUUGUUCGGUCGAUUCAUUGGUAUUCAACGACCGCUUGAAUAGAUAUCUUUGUGGGCGACAGCACACAAUGUCCAAAUCAAUGACGGAUGUCGAUAUGGUAUGUAUUUUAUUGCAUUUCACAUACUCCAUAAUGAAAAUAUUCGAGUUGUCGCUUUUUUUUGUUGUAUUUCAAUUUCAUAUAUAACGAACAUGUUUUUCAAUUUUAAUAUACAGUUACUCAUCCUUGUUAACUUGGACGGCGCGCAUUGGGUACUAGCACGAGUUGACUUCUCUCGCCCGAUAUGCCUGCUGGUAUGUUAACUGAACACCGUAUUCCUGUUGCAUAUCUGCUCUUAUGUCAUUCGGAGUAUAAAUCCUCUUGUCUUGAAUAUAUUUUUCUGCGAUAAUAUGACCGACAACCCAGCUCCUUACUUGAUGACGUCCAUCAACCAAUACCUCAUUAUGACAAGUGUGUACAUUGUCAAUUCUCUUUACCACCCAAGGAAUAUUUUGCUCGUUCGAACAUCUAGUUGCUUGAAUACGCCAUUUACAUGAUUCUGAACAACAGUGAGCCUCGAAACGUGUCAUAGUAGACCGUGCAAUCUUGAAAUCAAACUUAUCUCUAAAGGCAACCUUGCGUAGUUGUAAUAUAAACUUAUUCUUCUCAGCAAAUAGCUUACCCACACUGAUAUCAUCUGAAUCACAACUGCUAACAAAGCUUGGAGCAACCAUGUUCGAAGGCAAAGUUGGAGCAAGACUUGUAAGGGGGUCAAUUCGCCUUCUCGAUCGAACCAUAGAAAGACUAGGUCUAUUGCCUCUGUUAUUCACAGGAGUAUUGUCUUCACACUCAUCGUCGUGCUGAAACGACGGAACAUUUGAAGGACCGACUCCUUCAUCAUCACCAUCAUUAUUGAAAUGAGUGCCCCUCGUAUUAUUAGAAGGUUCUGCACAAACAUUAUCCCCCUCUGUCUCAUGAUGAAAAUCAUCAUUAUCCCGAAAAUCAUUGUUGUGAUACGGAGAAUACCGUUGCUCCAACGACGUCGUUAUUGGAAAUACCGUUGCUCCAACAUCCUCAACGUAACGCCGUUAUCAUCAAUAUUGUCAUAAUUGUCGUGGAUUGGAGAGUAAUAUUGCUGCAGCGAUAUUGUCCCUAGCAACACCUCUUCAUCAUUAUCGGGGCCAGACAUAUUUGCUCUAAACGAAGUUUCUGUAUCGACAUGUGGCUCAAUACCUUCACUCGGAACUCGAAACACUCUGCAGGUGCAAGUUCUCUUUUGCAAGUCAACCAAACCUUCCUUAAGCCCACCGCCUAUAACUUGAAAUCGAUGCGGAGACACCGACCGAACUAUCAUUCUUUCAGCUAUAGUUCUCCUCUCACUGACUAUUUCAUCCGCCCAUGUUGUUAGCCGAGUAGUCAUUGAUUCAGCCACAAUUUUCCUAUCAUAAAACCAUUGCUACAUUGUUUUCCUAAAGUGAUCAACAAGAUGAGUAACAGGAAAUUUUUGAGGUUCCCGCAUGAAAGAAUUAACACUCUCCGUGAUGUUGGUGGUAAGUAUGUUGUACCACCUACCUUCAAACUGAGACCUUGCCCAAUUACACGUACCGACAUUAUUUUCUAGGUAAUCAGCCGCACCCGAGUGGAUCAUCCACAACCCUUCAAGUUGUCUCUUAAAUUCCUCGUGGCCAUAUGCUUUUGCUGCAUUAAUAAAGGCAGGCUCAAAUUCAUCCCAAAGAGCUUUGGACAUUCUAAAUUGUGACUUAAUGUUACCUUUGACGUGGUAAAAACAAACGCCAUGAGUUGCAUUGUGAAAUACUUUAAGAACGGCUCUCCUUAUGGCAGUGCAUCGAUUAGAGAUAAUUACCAACUUAGAUCUAUCGCCAAUCACACCGUGUAACUUCAUCAUAAACCAUUCCCAAGCAUCAUUGUUUUCUGAAUCCAUGAUCCCAAUGGCUAACAGAUACAAUUGAUUGUUACCAUCAAGACAUGUUGCCACGAACAUGCUUCCACGAUAUAGUCCCUUCAGAUGAGUACCAUCUACAGCAAUGACAGGCCUAAUGUACUGCAUAAAACCCUUGAUGGAAGAUCCGAGUGCUACAAAAUAGUACAAGAAAUUACCAUCUCCAUCUUGCUCGAGGUGAGUGACUGUACCCUCAUUCGCUGUAGUUAGUACGUGAGAGUAUUUAGGGAGCAAGUUGUAUGACUCUGCAGGGUUGCCUCGAACUAUUUCAAGACCAACUUCUCUCGCCCUAUAUGCCUGCUGGUAUGUUAACUGAACACCGUAUUCCUGUUGCAUAUAUGCUCUUAUGUCAUUCGGAGUAUAAAUCCUCUUGUCUUGAAUAUAUUUUUCUGCGAUAAUAUGACCGACAACCCGGCUCCUGACUUGAUGACGUCCAUCAACCAAUACCUCAUUAUGACAAGUGUGUACAUUAUCAAUUCUCUUCACCACCCAAGGAACAUGUUGCUCGUUCGAACUUCUAGUUGCUCGAAUACGCCAUUUACAUGAUUCUGAACAACAGUGAGCCUCGAAACGCGUCGUAGUAGACCGUGCAAUCUUGAAAUCAAACUUAUCUCUAAAGGCAACCUUGCGUAGUUGUAAUAUAAACUCAUUUUUCUCAGCAAAUAGCUUACCCACACUGAUAUCAUCUGAAUCACAACUGCUAACAAAGCUUGGAGCAACCAUGUUCGAAGGUAAAGUUGGAGCAAGACUUGUAAGGGGGUCAAUUCGCCUUCUCGAUCGAACCAUAGAAGGAAUAGGUCUAUUGCCUCUGUUAUUCACAGGAGUAUUGUCUUCACACUCAUCCUCAUGUUGAAACGACGGAACAUUCGAAGGACCGACUCCUCCAUCAUCACCAUCAUUAUUGAAANNNNNNNNNNNNNNNNNNNNNNNNNNNNNNNNNNNNNNNNNNNNNNNNNNNNNNNNNNNNNNNNNNNNNNNNNNNNNNNNNNNNNNNNNNNNNNNNNNNNNNNNNNNNNNNNNNNNNNNNNNNNNNNNNNNNNNNNNNNNNNNNNNNNNNNNNNNNNNNNNNNNNNNNNNNNNNNNNNNNNNNNNNNNNNNNNNNNNNNNNNNNNNNNNNNNNNNNNNNNNNNNNNNNNNNNNNNNNNNNNNNNNNNNNNNNNNNNNNNNNNNNNNNNNNNNNNNNNNNNNNNNNNNNNNNNNNNNNNNNNNNNNNNNNNNNNNNNNNNNNNNNNNNNNNNNNNNNNNNNNNNNNNNNNNNNNNNNNNNNNNNNNNNNNNNNNNNNNNNNNNNNNNNNNNNNNNNNNNNNNNNNNNNNNNNNNNNNNNNNNNNNNNNNNNNNNNNNNNNNNNNNNNNNNNNNNNNNNNNNNNNNNNNNNNNNNNNNNNNNNNNNNNNNNNNNNNNNNNNNNNNNNNNNNNNNNNNNNNNNNNNNNNNNNNNNNNNNNNNNNNNNNNNNNNNNNNNNNNNNNNNNNNNNNNNNNNNNNNNNNNNNNNNNNNNNNNNNNNNNNNNNNNNNNNNNNNNNNNNNNNNNNNNNNNNNNNNNNNNNNNNNNNNNNNNNNNNNNNNNNNNNNNNNNNNNNNNNNNNNNNNNNNNNNNNNNNNNNNNNNNNNNNNNNNNNNNNNNNNNNNNNNNNNNNNNNNNNNNNNNNNNNNNNNNNNNNNNNNNNNNNNNNNNNNNNNNNNNNNNNNNNNNNNNNNNNNNNNNNNNNNNNNNNNNNNNNNNNNNNNNNNNNNNNNNNNNNNNNNNNNNNNNNNNNNNNNNNNNNNNNNNNNNNNNNNNNNNNNNNNNNNNNNNNNNNNNNNNNNNNNNNNNNNNNNNNNNNNNNNNNNNNNNNNNNNNNNNNNNNNNNNNNNNNNNNNNNNNNNNNNNNNNNNNNNNNNNNNNNNNNNNNNNNNNNNNNNNNNNNNNNNNNNNNNNNNNNNNNNNNNNNNNNNNNNNNNNNNNNNNNNNNNNNNNNNNNNNNNNNNNNNNNNNNNNNNNNNNNNNNNNNNNNNNNNNNNNNNNNNNNNNNNNNNNNNNNNNNNNNNNNNNNNNNNNNNNNNNNNNNNNNNNNNNNNNNNNNNNNNNNNNNNNNNNNNNNNNNNNNNNNNNNNNNNNNNNNNNNNNNNNNNNNNNNNNNNNNNNNNNNNNNNNNNNNNNNNNNNNNNNNNNNNNNNNNNNNNNNNNNNNNNNNNNNNNNNNNNNNNNNNNNNNNNNNNNNNNNNNNNNNNNNNNNNNNNNNNNNNNNNNNNNNNNNNNNNNNNNNNNNNNNNNNNNNNNNNNNNNNNNNNNNNNNNNNNNNNNNNNNNNNNNNNNNNNNNNNNNNNNNNNNNNNNNNNNNNNNNNNNNNNNNNNNNNNNNNNNNNNNNNNNNNNNNNNNNNNNNNNNNNNNNNNNNNNNNNNNNNNNNNNNNNNNNNNNNNNNNNNNNNNNNNNNNNNNNNNNNNNNNNNNNNNNNNNNNNNNNNNNNNNNNNNNNNNNNNNNNNNNNNNNNNNNNNNNNNNNNNNNNNNNNNNNNNNNNNNNNNNNNNNNNNNNNNNNNNNNNNNNNNNNNNNNNNNNNNNNNNNNNNNNNNNNNNNNNNNNNNNNNNNNNNNNNNNNNNNNNNNNNNNNNNNNNNNNNNNNNNNNNNNNNNNNNNNNNNNNNNNNNNNNNNNNNNNNNNNNNNNNNNNNNNNNNNNNNNNNNNNNNNNNNNNNNNNNNNNNNNNNNGGAACAUUCGAAGGACCGGCUCCUCCAUCAUCACCAUCAUUAUUGAAACAAGUGCCCCGCCUCGUAUUAUUAUAAGGUUCUGCACAAACAUUAUCCCCCUCUGUCUCAUGAUGAAAAUCAUCAUUGUCCCGAAAAUCAUUGUUGUGAUACGGAGAAUAUCGUUGCUCCAACGACGUUGUUAUUGGAAAUACCGUUGCUCCAACAUCCUGUAACGUAACGCCAUUAUCAUCAAUGUUGUCAUAAUUGUCGUGGAUUGGAGAGUAAUAUUGCUGCAGCGAUAUUGUCCUUGGCAAUACCUCUUCAUCAUUAUCGGGGCCAGACAUAUUUGCUCUAACAAAAGUUUCUGUAUCGACAUGUGGCUCAAUACAUUCACUCGAAACUUGAGGUAAUGUGGUCACGAAUAUAGGAAUGCAUCCAAAAUUGGCUACGUCGGAUGCUAUAUGCAACACAACCCUCACCAUUUCAUCAUCAAAUAUAUCCAUGGGCAGUGCACAUAUACGAUAUAAUGUGUUACUAGACCUCAAAGUUGUCUUCAUUGUGAUACUAUAUUCAUUAGGGUUUAUUUGUAACACCUCGUAUACUCUUGCCAAUAACUGAUCAAACAGACAAUUUUUCCCAACCAAAAAAGCUCGAUUUUUACCAUUCACAUACUCCAUACGGCCAUCCUCUAAUGUCUCCCACCAACCAUCGUAACACAAUUCAAGUACAACUGAAUCCAUUAAGCCUGAAAUUAUAUAAAAAAAAAAUAUUUAGAUCCGGAUUAAAUUAAUACAGUUUUAAUGAAUCUCUAAGGCUUGGUGCGACAGGCUGCCUGCGCCCGAAGCUUGGUACGACAGGCAGCCUGUCGCCAGAUUCAGCCGCUACUCAGUUCAGUAAGUUCAGAAAAUAACUCAUACCACUAAGUGAUGCCGAUUAGUGUUGGAUUUGGAUAGAUUAUGAUCAGAUUUCACUUUUACCGUUGUCUUUUGCCGUCGCCGUUGGUUGAUGAUUCAAGAGUGGAAAGCUGCGUUUGGUUUGACGAUAUGGGAGAAAGAUUGUUGCUUUUGGUCUGUAAAAAAGGGUAAUUUGGGGAGAAAGGCUUGUGUUUGGCUAAUGUUGAUAGAAAAAAGUUGAGAGGGUUAGUUGUGAAAAUAACAAAAUAUUUAUGGUUAUUUUCGUAAAUUUCCCAAACUUUUCCUACAGCAUAUCAAUUAUCCACUAAAUCUAAAAUAAUAAUAAUAAUAAUGUACAUAUAAGUGAAAAUUUUGCUUAAUUUUGAUGACAAACAGAGAAAGUGCCUAUAAAAUAAAAAUAUGAAAAUUACAAGUGAUAAAAUACAUAAAUUAGGUAAAUGUUAAAUACCCUUUAAUAAUUUUUAAAAGAAUUUGUGGUUGAAACUGAAACCCAGUGGUUCUUCUUCGUUAUCCACUUUCUAUGGCAACAAUGAAACAUUCUUUUUCUUCUUCUUCUUCACUCUCUCUCUCUCGAUUCUUCCACAAAACUACUCUCCAUUACAACAUCAACAAUGGCUUCAGUAAUCUCCGAAUUUCUACAAUAAUUAAAAAAAAUCCAAGCUUACUUGGGGUGGAGUUGGUGAUGGUUUGCUGUUGGUUCACGUGAGUUGCUGGUGCUGCUGGUUUCGGGUGGCGUUGGAGCUGAGAUCGCUGCUGCUGCAUCGCGCGCGUUCGAUUGGCUGCACUACGUCGCGCGGGUGGUGCUGUUGGGUGUGGGUCGCUGUUGCGUCGCCCGUUUGGUGUUGUAUUGCUACUGGGUUGCUAGCUCUGCUGCGUCGCGCGUGGACGGUGGAUCGCUACUGAAGGUGGUGGCUCCUUAAUUUGGUGUGAGGAUGAGGCAGUAAACGUCGGCUGUUGGCUGCCGGCGGAAAGUGCAGUGAGAGUCUGAUGGAGCGGCUGGAGAAGUGGAGAUAAAUUUAGGAAUUUUAGGUUUUGGGAAUUUGGUAAAGUCUAAUACCAUCAAAAUCCUUUUCCUAAUCUAACACCAUCUGUUAGGCUGCUGCUCUUAGAUAGCAGCAACGAAUUGAAGAGAAGAAUUACAGAAGAAUAAUGACGAGAGGGAGAAUUGUGUGGGAUGUAUCCCAUUUCCUUCAAAAUACCCAAUAUAUACCUAAAAUUAUAACACUCUUAAAUUUUACACAUAUAUACUCUAAAAAAUUAGAGAAAGUACAAAAAUAACCACAACUAAAUCCUCAUAAAACUAAACCCAAUUUCUCGAAGUUAGGUAAAUAGUCGAGAAUACUCGACUUCAACCAAACCAUACACAAUUAGUAAUUCAUCAUAAAUUCUUGACUUUUUCAUGUUAAUCGGGUAAAUAGUCAAGAAUACUCGACUUCAAUUGAAAUAAAAAAUUAUCUGAAAAAUUCUCGAUUUUUUCAAGUAAGUCGAGUAAAGAGUCGAGAAUACCCGACUUUAAUUUAACCUUACCCAAUAUUCAUUCAGCAAAAAUUCUUAACUUUUCAUUAAAGUUCAGUAAUUGAUUGAGAAUAUUUGACUUAAAUUGAAUUGAAAAUUUUCCUUUUAAUUAAAUCAGGUAAAAAGUCGAGUAUACUCGAAUUUGGUUGUGUUAUUAUGCAGAAGUUAUGAGAGAGGAAGUAAACAUAAAUAGAUGGUUUUUUUAGGUUAUUUUUUACUUUUAAUACUUUCAUGAGGUAUAUGUAUGUAAUGGGGUAUAUAUUUUGUAUUUAAGAAUAAAUGGGGUAUAUUUAAAUAAAAAACUCGAGAGGAGAGGUGGCCAUAGGGGAAAUGAGAGUUUUUUAAGUAAUUGUUAUUCUUUAUUAAUCUAACAAUAGUUUCUUAUACAGAGGCAAAGAAAUCCGACUAAAAUAAUAAUUCCUAAUAACAUAAUAACUAACUUAGUAACUAAUCCUUAACAGAAAAUGAAAUAAUGUAGAACUGAGACUAGGAAGGGCAUCUCCAAUGCUUAACACUAUUAUGGUGUAAUACUAAUAUAAACAAUUUUUUUUUUCACACUAAAUUAUUAUUUCAUCUAUAACCCAUUUACACCAAAAAAAAAAAAUUCUUUUUAUUCUCAAGAAUUAAUUCAAUUAACACAAUAAAUAUUACUAUUAAUAUAAUGCAAUGUGAGCCUUUUUAUCAUUGAUUUGUUUGUGUCGAACAAGAAAUUCUUAAAAUCUAGUAUUCUUAUCUACCCUCAUAUCAACGAUUGGUAUUGGGGCUUGCAUCCAAUCAUUAAUUGUUGCAUUAACAUCACGUUCAUCUUCAAUUAUCAUAUUGUGCAUAAUAAUGCAAGCAGUCAUUAUAUCAUGUAACACAUGUUUGUUCAAAAAACAUGAUGGUCCAACAACAAUUGCAAAACGUGAUUGAAGGGCUCCAAAUGCACGUUCUACAUCUUUUCCGACAUGCUUCUUGUUUCAUAGCAAAUAAUUUCUUUUUAGGACCACGUGGAUCAUGGAUAGUUUGUACAAGAGUAGACCAUUUUGGGUAGAUACCAUCAGCUAAAUAAUAACCCAUAUUAUAUUUGUUCCCUUUAAUGACAUAAAUCGAGCGAAGGUGUUACUGGCACAAGAUAAGAAAUACAAUAAAUGGUUCAAAUUUGAUUAUGUAUGGCCUAUCCUUAAAGAUAUUGAAAAAUUUGGAGAUGAUAAUAGCAUUGCAACACCAUACUUUCGAAGGCAAAGUAGCGAAUUUGUGCCAUCACAAUCAGAUUCUCCCGCUCUGGAGUCUCCAACAUCAACAUCUCCUAGUCUAUCAUCAUUUUCACUAAAUAUAAAUGACGAGCAUGUUAACGAUUGUUCUACUCAACGACCCAUUGGAGUAAAGAAGGCAAAAGGAAAAAGGAAAGUUGAAGAUCAAAAUUCACUAAUUAUUGAUACUAUUAAAGAAGACAAUCGACGACUUUAUGAAAUUCUUCAAAAGGCAGUGACGAUAGGCAACAAAAUUAUCAAAUUCAAAUGAUACGAGCCCAAAAUGAGAAAAAAAAAUUAGAGAUGGUCACAUAUCGUGAAGAAAACAAAAUUUUACUUAAAGAUUUAAAUUCGAUAAGUGAUCCAAGCUUGCGUCAAUAUUCUAAAAAUGAACAAAUUAAGAUUUUGCAGAGAAAAUCUCAGCAAGUCCAAACAUCUCAAAAUACUUCCAAUAAUAUUGACCAAUAUUUUGAUGAUAUUGGAGAAUCUAAUAAUGAUAUCCCAAAUUAUUAAAUAAUUGUUCUAAUUUAUGCUGCUAGUAGUAGGUUUUUUAAUUUUUGUUAAUUUAAUUUUGUAUUUUUAAUUUUGUGAUAUGUAAUCUAGUAAUUAAUGUUAAUCUAGUCCAAACAUCUCAAAAUAUGGUGCAAUACUAUUCAUAACACCAUUUUAGUGUUUGUUUUGGGAUAUUACAUUAGAAAAGUAUUUUACACCAAAAAUGGUGUAAAAAUUAAUUUGGUAUUAAUUUUGUUGUCGCAUUGAAAAUAGCGUAACACCAUCAAAAUUCUAUUGGUAUUCAUCACAACUAAAAAGGAAAAAAAAAGUUAGGUCAUUAUUGAAAAAUAUUAAGUGCGGUGGAAAUUAACCUAAAGUCUUGACUUUUAAUUAGUUAAUUGAUCGUUAAGAAAAUAUACAGAUACAGUUUUACACUUUCGGCUAUUAAAAUUAAGGGAAAUUAUCACUGCACCACCUCUUUUUUACCUUAUGUUCAUCCAACCACCAAAAAAUUCUAACAUGUUCUCUGCACCCCCUUUUUUUUUUUUUUUAAUUUGUAUCAACUAGCCACUUUUUAACUAACACCGUUAAAUAAUUUAAAUGAAAUGACAAUUUUACCCCUAAAUAAAUUAAAAGACCAUUUUAUUUUACAAAAAAAUUGAAAAAUAAGAAAAUUAUAAUUAUAAAAAUACCUCUAUAAUUAUAAAAAUACCUCUAAAUUUAAUAAAAAAUAAAUCCCAAAAUUUUUAUUUUUAAUAAAAUCUAAAUAAAAAUUAUAAUUAUAAAAAUAAUUACAAAAGGAUUUAAUAACUGCACUUUAAUGAAAGAAAAAAAUGAACCAAGAAUGGAAUGAUAGGAAGUAGAUGUAGGAAUUUAGGGCUGCUGUACCGUACAUCCGCCUUGGCCGUACAGCAGUGAUUUAUUUUUUAAUAAAUAAAUUCAGUUAUUUUAAUAAAAUUUUGUAAAAUUAUAAUUUUUAAUAAAUAAAUUCAGUCAUUUUUAUUAAAAUUUUGCAAAAUUAUAAUUUUUUAAUAAAAAUAAUUAUUAAAAUUUUGUAAAAUCUAAAUUAAAUAAAAAUCAACUGAGCACCUUUGUCUGGGAUUUAUUUUUUUAUUAAAUUUAGGAGUAUUUUUAUAAUUAUAAUUUUCUUAUUUUUCAAAAUUUUUGUAAAAUAAAAUAGUCUUUUAAUUUAUUAGGGGUAAAAUUAUCAUUUCAUUUAAAUUAUUUAACGGUGUUAGUUAAAAAGUGGCUAGUUGAUAUAAAUUGAAAAAAAAAAUGGUGCAGAUAAAAUGUUAAAAUUCUUUAAUAAUUGAAUGAACAUAAAACCAAAAAUAGGUGGUGCAGUGAUAAUUUUCCUAAAAUUAAUGAAGAAAUAAUGACAUUUGAGGUAAUAUAAAAUUUUCAUAUUUUUAUAAGAUAAAUUAAGGUGCCAUAUUUACCCAAACAUAAAUAAUAAAUUCAUGAUUAGUCAGAAACAAUAAGAAACUCAUCAAUACAAAAAUAAUAAUCAUAAUUACAAAUAAAGUUUUUAAUUUUUUUAAUUGAAAUCUUUAGUAUUUUUAAGACUGAACAGCUCAUUUACUCCGUACACAAGCAUUAGAAAAGUUUUAUACUGACAUGAACAAAUUGAAAAAUCCAUGCCGUUUUAAAAUGUUCAACCGAGAUUAACAGUUUAAAACCAAGAUUCAUAUUCCAACCAAAUAUUUUUUGUAAUCUAUUAAUAUAAAAUAUACAACAAUAACGGCUUCCUACCAUUGCUUCUGUAAAGCUACCAGGAAUCACAAUUAUGGAUACAAAAAGGGGAUUACACAACCAACAAAUCUUUCCAAUUUUUUUACCAAGGACAUAUCCCCACAGAAUUUACAGAACCGGGAAACUCCAACAUACGCUUUUCUUUUUCCUUUAAAGAAAAAAAAAAAAUCUAGUAUUCUGGCAUUCUCAGGCUAAUAAACAACGGUAAUCUGACAAAAGUGUUUACCUAGGUAUUCCGAGAUUGAAUACCAGCUUCAGCCUCUGAUAAGCUCUCAUGAUACUCAUCUAUUAAGUAGUCACAAAGUUCCAGAAGCUGAUCUGCAAGGGGAGGAAUAGCAGGAUGGCGUCCAUCGUUGUACUUAUGGGCAUUAAAGGCAAUUUGCCAUACAUCGUGUCUAAAAUCCUCUCGGUCCUUGUACUCCAUCCGCCUCACCUUACCCCUGAUUGUGGACAAAUCCAUGGGGCGCUCAAUGAUAUCCAGGUAAUCAGGAGCUUCUUUCUUGGCCACUGGUUUAAGGAAGAGAUAUGACAACUCAGUAUUUUCUCGGAGGGUCUCUACAAUGCGCUCUAAUAUGUUCGACAGACCAACCUGUAAGAUAAUUGAUUAGGAAAUUCAAACAAAACAAGUCCCAGUCCUUAAUUGAUAUAACACUUAAAGGAGAAAUGCAACAAACCCAACUCAGCAAUUAGACAUAACAAUCAAUAUAGCUCUUCAAACUUAUUCCCCUUUUCAACAUUAAAGGAACUACCCAGGAGCCUUUAAUUUGAUUAUUUAACUACCUGUAUGCUUGUCCUUUUGAACCACAACCACCCCAUACAAAACCUAAUAGUAAGUUUUCAAUCUUAGUCCAAUUUACUUUAUUAAGUAGAUAUAGAAAUAUUAUCAAUGGUUGAAAAAUAACAAGGUAUAAUGUGCUCAAUAUGAAAGCACAUAUGAUGAAAUCAAGGAUAGAGAUAAGAUAGUGCAUACCUCUCCCCCUCUGCGUCGCUUUGUUGGAGGUCCAUAAUCUGCACUGUGCUUUCCCAACUCUGCGCCAGGUUUCCUCUUUGCACCUCGAUCUCUUUCUGGCAUCCUUCUAUCAUUUCUUUUAGCCCUGUAGUCCUGUAAAUAAUCAUCUCCUAUUUCAGGUUUUUUCUUCUUCUUUUUCUUCUUCUUUGCUUUUUGGAUGAGUUCUUCCUCUCUCUCUUUUCUGAUGGAUUCUUCAUAUCUCCUAAGUUCAGCAAACCUUUCCCGCUCUUCCACAAACCUCCUUUCUUCCUCAUAGAUCCUCCUUGCCCUUUCUUCUUUGAUCCUCUCAGCAUUUCUUCUCUUCUCUUCCUCUUCCCACCAAUUCCUCUCAUCUCUCACUUUCCUUUUUGCUGAAUCAUUAGUCAAUAAAGGGAUCUGCUUUUC